Molecule: long non-coding RNA, 55501 nt
Filed under: Capsicum annuum
Lineage: Eukaryota; Viridiplantae; Streptophyta; Magnoliopsida; Solanales; Solanaceae
Description: long non-coding RNA (CANN_LNC008082)
Source: RNAcentral
AGCAUUUAUGGGGUACCGAGCUGCCUCCUCGUGCUAGAUGAUUGGCGCCAUAAGAACUACAUUAUGCCACCCAUGGUUAACUAUUUGGGGUUGUUUCGAGAACCUUUACUUGUUCCAUAUUACUUGGAUGGGUAUAAGGUUAUCGAGAGAGUGAGGAUUGUCUUCACCUAAUUUGAAUACUAUGAGGAGGUAUGGUGCGAUAUCUUUUCCUUGACACUAGGUCAUGUAUGCUUGGGUGCCGAUUGGUUUGCACAACAUAGAGUUCCAAAUAUUCUAAAUUGGCCUAAGGUUGUAGUGGACCGUUGGGAAAAUUAUCUCUUUACCUCAAUUCUUCCCAAACUACAAGAAGAUGUGAUCACUUACUCCGGCCCGAAUAAUUAUGAGAGACAAAAGAUUGAUAGGAGUAAGGGUGUGUAUGGUGGUAAUCCAAGAGUGGAAAAAGGAGAGGUUGUGUGGAGUGAAGUGAGGGGGUUGUCACCAAACUGUGCUAACUAUAUUUGUCCUUCUAUUUCUAAGGACAUUUGUGUAGGUACUAAUAUGGCAAGUGGAGGAGCACAAGGCCAAGGACAAGUUGCUGCCGAAGCAUGUGGGAAACCUUUACACCAUGGCAAAGAAGAAUUUACUCAAGAACUUCAAGGUAAAAUAGCUAACUCUUAAACUUUUGUGCAUGUGAAUGAUAAUUGUGUGGCUAGUAGCCCAUUAAGUGUGAGUAGUAGCUUACCUAUUUGUGAUUCUAUUGAUUCUUUGCCUCUUGUUGAUGAUGUACUUAUUAUGAGUAUGGAUACACUAAUUGAUCCUAUUGAUGACCGAAUUGACUCUUCUUGUAAGAUCAAUUUAAGUCCACCUAAUGUUGAAGCCAUUGUGUUGAAUGAUAAUACAUCAUCUAUUGAUUCUUUGCCCCUUGAUGAUGAUGUACAUGUUGUGAAUGUGGAUACACUAGUUGAUCCUAUUGAUGACCGAAUUGACUCUUCUUAUAAGAUCAAUUUAUGUCCACCUAGUGUUGAAGCCAAUGUGUUGAAUGAUAGUACAUCAUCUUGUGAAAAUUGUGUUGAUCAACUUAUGUGCAAAAUUUGUCCACCACUUGAGGAUGUGUGUGAUGUGUUUAAUGGAUCUCAAGUGAGUGAUGAUAUUGAAAAUGUUGAUCAAAUAAAUAAUAGUGUUCCCUUUAGCAUGACCUCUAGUGAAUGUUCUACUAGCGAUUUUGCUCAUAAGGAUCGUGUGUUGAAACUUCUUUGGAACUUGAUAAUUUUCCUUUAGAGAGUGAACUUGCAUGUUCUGAAUCAUGCCCAAGGGUAGAUCCUCCUCUCUUUAGGUAUAAAAUCUUGUUUAAAGAUGGUCUUAUCACUCCUAAUGAACCUAGUGGUGGGAAUGAUAUUGAAGGUAUAGCUUGUCUUGAAGGUUAUAGCCUGUAUACUAACCCACUAUGGUGUGACAACAUACCUCCUAAAGAUGAAAAUCUCUUCUUGAAAGAUGAAAGUACUCUUAAGGGUAAGGAAUGUGUAGUCUUAGAAAGGAAUGAUCAAUUGGCUAAUGAUAGCUUUGAUCUGCUUGAAUAUUUGAGAAACCCAACAGGUGAUUAUUCCUUGAAAAUUGAUUGUGGUUGUGAUCCUUUGUAUGAUUCCCCACCCAUGUUUGAUGACUAUGAGGAUGAAUUGUCUGUUUCUUGUGAAGACUUAAGUAAUAAUCCUUUUGAUUCUGCUUGUGGUGUGUAUCUACUUGAGGGUUCUUCCAUGAAAAGAGAAAGUGUCCAUUGCUUGGAAAUUACUUCUUCUUCUACUUUGUGUGACCUUAUUGUUGAGAGUACUCAUGGUGAUGAUUUUGAAACUAGUAGUGAGUACAUACAUGAAGACACCUUAGUUGAAGUUGACUUGAGUGACAUGUCUAUAGCCACUCUUUCUAUUUAACCCGGGUGCCAAAUGUAGAUAUUAUGAUGUUGGCACACCCAAAUUGUUGCUUGGUUUGGUCUACAUGACAAGCAAAGUGACAUUCUUGAAAACUCGAGGGCAAAAGUGUCAUUGUCUUCUUGGGGUAAUGUUACUAAAUGUGCAUCCUUUCUUGACACACUUGUGCUUAAGUUGCAUGAUUCCCAACUUGUGGAUGCCAAGUUGAUACUUUACUUGAAAGAAAGAGGUCAUAUGUGCUUUAGUGCCUUAAAUCCAUCCUUGUGUGCUUUAUGUGUUAUAUCUUAUGGGCCAAAUUGCAUUCUUAUAGAUAACAGCGCCUUGGAUGAUGCCUUUACACUUGAUUCCUUCUUAUACUACCUCUUUGCCUAUGAUGACAUCCAUACUAGUUUUGGAUUUGUAUUAUGUAGAGGUAGGGAACUUGUUGGUUGGUCCACUUUUUUGAAUGACAAUACUAUGUGGGUUUGGUGGACAAUAAGACCAAUAGUGGCACCACUUUUGAUGAGGACACUUGAAGAAGUAAUGAAACAAUUAUGUCUAGUGGUUUCUAACAUAAAGGUAGUCUUACCUUUUGGCUUUAGUGAUACCAUUAAGACCUUUGUAGUUUCUUUAUCUCUUGAUACUUGUUAUAGCCAUAUCCUUUGUGAUAUUUUCACUAAGUUUUUCUUGACUAAAAUAAAGGAUUCAUGGUUAUAUUUUAAGUGUGUACCCCCUUGGCAUGAUGAUGUUAUUUGUUGUACUAACCCUAACCCUCAUGCCAUGAGGAUGUUGUGCUUGUUUGUCCUUUCUUUGGUUUUUCAAGGUAUGGAUUCGAGGUUUAAUCCUUUUCAAGAAGGGGAGGAUGAUACGAGCCAAAGGGCCAUCAUAGCUUUUGAUGACAUUAUUGGAGGCCCAUACAUGAAGAUUCAAGCUUUGGUCAUAUUGAGGGUACAAGGACAUGCAUGGAGGACUCAUUUUGAAAUUACAAUAGAGCAAAACCAUGUUUGGAAGAUUGCUUGGGACGUGUGUUGAUGCCUACCAAAGUAUUCCAAGAGGUUUCAUAUUUUGAAGCUUGAAUAAGAAGGGACCCACGAAGCAUUAGUGGGGAGGCCUUAGAGUGUAAACACUCAUUAAGGGUGUUUUAGUUUUUUUUGUGCCAUUUCUUUACACUCCAUAGGAUCCCUUUUUCAUUAAGGGUAUUUUGGUAUUUUAUGUAAUAAGCUAUAAAUAGACUCUUUAGGCUUAUUUUCUCAUUAGUUGAUUAUUGAUAUUUGAAAGACUUCUUCUUCUCUCUUUGAGAGUGUAGUGUAGGGCUUUGAAAAGACAAGUAGAGUAGGGCUUGGAAAAGCCAUUAUUGACCUUUGCUUAGAAAUGGUGGUUGUAAGGCGGAGUUGAUUCCCUUAGUGGUCACUGUAAGAGUUUGGUGUUGUAAUUGCGGGUCUUAAGGGUCUUAUCGUUUGAUACAUGGUUUGGUUCCUAUUUUUCGCAACCUCAUAUGUCAAGCUAUCUAUCUUACUUUAUUGUAUUUGUUUGUUCUCUUAUUUCUCUUAGUCUUCAUCUCUUUAGGUCAUUCUUCUAUCACUAAGAUGCCUUUAUAUGAAUAAUACGUUGAGUUUGAAUCUCAAUGCACCAUAUUGAUGAUAUUAUUAUGGCUAAAGCAAAAUAAUGUGUGUUUUGUAAAAAGUCAUUAAUCCUAUCUUUUUUAAAUGUGCUCCAUUCUAUGAAGUGAAUGUGGUAGCAAUAUAUGAUAAGUCUGAUAGAUGACAAUUUAUUCCAUUGUUGAAGUAAAUGUAGUCUGAUAGAUGACAAUUUGUUCCAUUCUUGAAGUGAAUGUGGUAGCAAUAUAUAAUGUACUCUGAAAGAUAUGUUAAGGGAAUUUUUUUUCUACAUUAGAUGUAUGGCUCGAUUUUUCUCUAGAAGUAGCAAUAUUUUUGAUACGGGAAUGACAACGGAAACACGAAAUCACAUUCCAAGUCUUGGGUUCAAUACAUCUCACAAACAUACAUCCUCGUGGUCAUACCCAUAUCAUCCACCCCUUCUUGAAAAGGAUUCGACCUCGAAUCCAUGCCUUGCAAAAUCAAGAGAAGACAAACAAGAACGCAUCCUCAUGGCAUGAGGGUUAGGGUUAGCAAAAUACAUAUAUCAAUAUGCAAUGCCGAGGUGGAACAAACUUGAAGUACAUCCAUGGAUCCUUUGUGUUGAACAUAAAAAACUUAGUAUAAAUGGCACAAAGGAAGUGGUCACCACCAACAAAAAGAGAUAAGGAAGAAACUUGUCUUCCUUCCUUAGCACCCAUAAUCAAACAUUGCUUGUCAUCUUGACCAAGCAUUAAGUGGAGAGUGUCGAGAUUUUCAUAUUCCAAUAGGGUGCCGGGAUCAAAUGGAAAAAUUAGCCAAGGACCUAAGCCGAGGCUAGCCCUUCCUUCCCCUACAAUGUCACUCCCAUAUUCACACGCAAAAAUAUUUUUAUACACAUGAUCUCUAUGAACGAAACUAAUUGCAAUGCUUUUACCGCACAAGAUGUUCAAACCGUGCAUUAUCAAGAUUAAUUUUACAGACACCAUCACUAACUUGAGAGUUUUUAAGCAUACUAUUCACAUGCCCAAGUAGUGAACUACUUUUAAGAGUAAAUUGAUCAUCAUGAACACCAAGAGUACUACUUUUGAAGGCCAACACGUAAAGGCUCAUGACUUGGUCACCCCAAGAGCACAAGGAUAUGUAAGGAAGGAUCAUUUUGAGCAUGACUUAAAGCAAUCUCGUGUGUAGAAGGUUGCUUGGUUGCUUACAUUGAUGGUAACCCGAGAAUAACAAGACUUGAAGUAUGAACCAUACUCGGUUUUUUAGAGCAUUGAAAAGGCACCAUUCAUUCAAGUUAUAACGUACCUUGGCUGCCCUUUCAUUAAGGGUAUUUUAUACAUUACAUAUGGUGUAUUUACACACCAUGGAAGCCCCUCUCAUUAAGGGCUAAGUGGUCUUUUUAUCUUCAUUUGUAAUAUAUUAUAAAUAGGCCCCUUUAGUCUUAUUUUCACUAGUUUUGGAAAAAGAUGAAAGAUUGAAACAUUAAAAAUCCUCUCUCUUGAGAGUAGAACACUUAGUCUUAGUUUAGGGCUUGGAAAAGAUAAUAUUGUUCUUUGCUUGGAAACGGUGGAUUUUAGUGGUCACCGUGAGAGUGUGGUUUUGAUUAUUACAUUCAUUAGGGGUUAAUGUUGAAAUAUACUUGGUUCUUAAUCUUGUAAUAAUCUUGGUCUCACUAUCUAUCGUUUACUUUCUUGCAAAUCAUGUAUGUGUUGUGUAGCGGACUGUUUUGGGCCCUUCGUUGAAUCCAAAACUUGUAUUAUUGUUGUUCAUCUUGUUCCUCAUGUUUUGUAGCUGUUUUGGUGUUAAAAUACACUUGUAUCUUGUAUUCUUGUUGUAUUUGUUGAAUCUGAGAGUUGGUCUCUAAUAGGUCCUCAAAUCUUGUGAUUUGUGGACUAUUUUGGGGUGUGUUUCAUCCUUCCAUUGUCUUUAUUGUAUCAUUUGGUAUCAAAGCAAGGCUGGUUCUGUUCCUACACUACCAAUCUUUGGUUCUCUUGGACGAAAAUUAAAAAAAAAAAAGGCUAAAAACUGAAAAAAAAAUUCCAGAAAAGUGCAAAUCUGUCCAUUUUGUGUUCUUGGCUGAAAAUUGUGUUGUUUUUAUCUUGGCCAAGAUUUAUUUGUUGUGUGACUAGAUCUAGUAUUGUUCUUGUUUGUUUUGUUGUUUUUAGUGUUAGUUUUCUUGUCCACUAACACUUUGAGUCUAGAUCUAAACUUGAGCUUGGACUUGUUGAAAGUUGUUAUUGUGAACAUAAGCUUGGCCCAUUGUUGUGGUGGACUAUUUUGGAUGCAUGGUUUCUCCUUGAUGUUCUAAACUUGACCACGUGAUAUUGUUGUUACUUGGUGGCUUGAGAACCAUUUUGUUGAAGUUGUAGUUGUCGUGGCCAAGUGUUGGAGAUAUUGUUAUUGUGGAUUGAAGUUGGCCGUUUGAAUUGUUGUUGUUCUUGAAGAUUGUUGUUAUUGUUCUUGGUGUGGUUGUUGUUGUUCUUGAAGUUCUUCACCUUCCUUCAUAUAUUGUUAGAACAUAAAGUGAAUGUUAGAUCCUAAAAGGUAAAGAAAAGAGGUGUAUGUAGUUGUUAGUCUUGAAAGAACCCCAACCACCAAAAGACUUUAUAUCACUUCUCAAUCACUUUUCCAUGAUUUAAGGACCCAUGUUUUAAGGAGAAGUACAAGAAAAAGUCCAGUGAAAAUUGAAAAAGGCCCCAAGACUUAUUUUCCCUCCUAAAACAAAUUCCACCGAACCAAUACGUGGCUUCCAUAUCAUCACCGCUACUGUUCACGCAAUAUUUUCGAGCUCAACUUUUAGAUUCUUAGUUUUAUCUUAUUGUUUCAUUAGUUUCAUGUCUUGAUUCUAGAAUUAAUUAACAACUAGUAAUCACCUAUACUUAGUUGUAGAUUAAUUAUUGAAUCCAUUUCUUCGUGUCUUCGUUAUUUGUGUGUUUUUCUCAUUUUUAACUCGUAGUAACUUCUUUGUUUCAAGUUCGUAAGUAAAUUUUAUUUUGUUUCUUGAGUCGAUCAAGCAAGAAUCCAUUCUGGCCGCCAAGUAGAAUUGACAUCUUAUUGACUACCGGAGUAUAAGCAACUUUCAAUAUUCGCCGCUCCAAAUUGUGAGGAUCAUAAAAGUGAGUGAAUACGAGUGUUGGUGAGGAGUUUUUACUACUAAUCUUGUUUGUUCAUUUUAUAGGUUUAAAAGUUAAUAUAAGAGGAACAUGUGUUCGAUAUCCGGGGAUUAUUGUGACUACAAUAUGGGAGACUACGAUUGUAGUAAGGGUUUUUAUGGCUACGAAGUUGAGGGAGAUUGUGGAGGCUUUGAAAAUAGCCAUGAUCAAAACUUGGGCAGAUUUAAAAGUUACUGUUUUGAGGGAGAAAAUGAGGUGAAUAAAGUACCUAGUGCUUAUGGUGACUUUGGAGAUGAUAUAAGACCUCAUGAUGGAUCAUAUGAUAACGUUGGGGCAUGUGAGAAGUCUUAUAAUUCUCACUCCAAACCUAGAUUUGGUGUUAGGUUUAACCCUUUCGUUCGAAAAACUUAUGAGACAUAUGAUGAGAGUACACGUAAGGAGUGUGAAUAUUCAUAUUCUCCACCUUGUAGUGCUUUUUAUCAAGGUCAAUAUAGUGUGAAUGGUUAUACUAACUAUAGUGGAGGUUGUCCAAUGAGAAGAUGAGGGUACGCAUCUCCAAAACCAAGGGGUACUCGUAUGCCUUACAAUCUUGAUCCAAAAAGGAGUGUACACUCCGGAAAGGUGACCAUUUUUUGUGGGAUACCGGGCUGCCUCAUUGUGUUAAAUGAUAGGUACUAUAGAAACUACAUCAUUCCAUCCAUGGUUGAUUACUUGGGGUUGUUUUGCGAUCAUUUACUUGUUUCAUACUUUUUGGACAGGUUCAAGGUUACCGAGAGGGUAAAAGUUAUCUUCUCCCAAUAUGAAUACCAUGAGGAGGUGUGGUGUGACAUUCCUCCCUUGGCCUACGGUCAUGUAUACUUUGGCGUCGAUUGGUUUGCACAAUAUCAAGUUCCUAACGUGGAAAAUUGGUCUAAUAUUGUAAGAGACCAAUGGGGAAAUCGCCUCAUGACUUACUUGCUGCCCAAGCUGUAAAGAGAAAUGCCUACCUAUUCCAAUCGAAAUAAUUAUGAGAGACAAAAGAUUGAGAGGAGUAAGGGAGUGCAAGGUGGUAAUUCGAGAGUGGAAAAAAAGAGGUUGUGUGGAGAGAAGUGAGGGGAUUACCACCAAACUGUGCUAACAUUGGUUGUCCUUCUAUUUCUAAGGACAUUUGUGUAGGUACCAACAUGGCAAGCGAAGACGAACAAUGCCAAAAAGAAGUUUUUGGCCAAGCUUUUGGAGGACCUUCACACCAUGACAAAGAAGAAUUUACUCAAGGACUUCAAGGUAAAAUGCUUAACUCUUACACUUUUGUACAUGUGAAUGAUACUUGCCUAUAUGCGAGUCUAUUAUUUCUUUGCCACUUGAUAAUGAUGUACAUAUUGUGAGUGUGGAUACACUAGUUGAUCAUAUUGAUGACUGAAUCAACUCUUCUUGUAAGAUCGAUUUAUGUCCACCUAGUGUUGAAACCAUUAUGUUGAAUGAAAGUACAUUAUCUUCUGAAAUUUGUGUUGAUCAACUUAUGUGUGAAAAUUACCCACCACUUGAGGAUGUGUAUGAUGUAAUUAAUGAACCUCAAGUGUGUGAUGAUGUUUAAAAUGUUGAUCAAAGGAAUAGGAGUGAACUCGAGAGCUAUUGUUGGGAUAAUCUUGCACUUGAAAUCUCUUUGCAACUUGAUAUUGAUCUUUUAGAGAGUGAUGAACGUAUUUGUUUCGAAUCUACCCAUGAAAUAGAUCAUGCUCUCUUUAGGUAUAAUGUCUUGUUUGAAGAUGAUAUAACCACUCCUAAUGAAUCUAGAGGUGAAAAUGAUGGUAUAGCUUAUCGUAGAAGCUAUAGCCGAUAUGCUAACCCACUAUGGUGUGACAACAUUUCUACUAAAGAUGGAAAUCACUUCUUUGAAGAUGAAAGUACUCUUAAGGGUAAGGGAUGUAUAGUCUUGGAAACUACUUCUCCUUCUACUUUGUGUGAUUUUAUUGUUGAGAGUACUGAUGGUGAUGAUUGUGAAACUAGUAGUGAGUACACACAUGAGGGCACCUUAGUAGAAGUUGACUUGAGUGAUACCUUUCUCUACUCUCUAUUUGCUUUGGAUAAUAUGUAUUCUAUUGUAGAGAGUACACCAUUUAGUUUGGGUAGAGACCACGGGAAAGGGGAGUGUUGUCUAGACCCGUGUCUAUGGCCACUCUUCCUAUUUGACCUGGGUGCCAAAUAUAGAUUUUAUGAUGAUGGUCCACCCAACUUGUUGCUUGGUUUACAUGAAAAGCAAAGUAUCACUUUUGGUAAAUUCCAUAACCAAAUCCUUUAUGCAUUUUUCAUUAAUUAUUUAAUAUUUAGUUCAAAGGAUCCUUGGUUAUAUUAUAAAUAUGUGCAACCUUGGAAUGUUAAGGUGAUUUAUCGUGCUAACCCUAACCCUCAUUCCAUGAGGAUUUUGUAUUUAUGUGUCCUUUCUUUGGUUUUGCAAGGUUUGGAUUCGAGGUCGAAUCCUUCUCAAGAUGGGGAGGAUGAUACGAGUCAAAGGGCCACCUUAACUUUUGAUGACAUCUUUGAAGGCCAACACGUAAAGGCUCAAGACUUGGUCACCCCGAUAGCACAAGGAUACACAAGGAAGGAUAAUUUUGAGCAUGACUUAAAGCAAUCUCGUAUGUAGAAGGUUGCUUGGUUGCUUACAUUGAUGCUAACCCGAGAACCACAAGCCUUGAAGUAUGAACCAUACUCGGUUUUUGAGAGCAUUGAAAAGGCACCAUUCAUUCAAGUUAUAACAUACCUUGGCUACCCCUUAAUUAAGGGUAUUUUAUACAUUACAUAUGGUGUAUUUACACACCACGACAUCCCCUCUCAUUAAGGACAAAGUGGUCUUUUUAGCUUCAUUUGUAAUAUAUUAUAAAUAGGCCCCUUUAGUCUUAUUUUUACAAGUUUUGGAAAAAAAAUGAAAGAUUGAAACAUUAAAAAUCCUCUCUCUUUAGAGUAGAACACUUAGUCUUAGUUUAGGGCUUGGAAAAGAUAAUAUUGUUCUUUGCUUGGAAACGGUGGAUCUUGAGGUGAGUUGUUUCCCUUGGCGGUCACCGUAAGAGUGUGGUUUUGAUUAUUACAUUCAUUAGGGGUUAAUUUUGAAAUAUACUUGGUUCUUAAUCUUGUAAUAAUCUUGGUCUCACUAUCUAUCCUUUACUUUCUUGCCAAUUGUGUAUGUGUUGUGUAGCGGACUGUUUUGGGCCCUUCAUUGAAUCCAAAACUUGUAUUAUUGUUGUUCAUCUUGUUCAUCACGUUUUGUAGCUGUUUUGGUGUUAAAAUACACUCUUGUAUCUUGUAUUCUUGUUGUAUUUGUUGAAUCUGAGAGUUGGUCUCCAAUAGGUCCUCAGAUCAUGUGAUUUGUGGACUAUUUUGGGGUGUGUUUCGUCCUUUCAUUGUCUUUAUUGUAUCAAUUUUGAAAGGGGUUAUAAGCUAUCAAAAUUUGAUAGACUUAUGACAUAAUUAUAUUCCAUUCCCGGGGAAUAAGAAUUUUGAUUAUUAUAAGUAUAGAUCCAUUCCGUAAGGUGAAUGUGAUAAUAUUUAUUAAAACUUCCAAUACAAACAAGCACUUGAUUAUUAUGGUAUCGUAACUCACCUCUAGAAGAAGAAGAAGAAUUGAGAGGAACUAUUCUGAAAUUUACUUUCGAAGUAGUAAAUCUAAAAAUUUAUUCAUGUAAUAGUAAAUCUAAAAUUUGAACGAUUAUGACAUUCUGAAGAUGUGCAUAUUGAGUAUUGGACAUAUAAGGAAGAAUUCGAAAAUUCUUCAAGAAUUGUUUAUGUUGUCUGUUCUCAUGAAAAGUUGGUUGGACCAGCUAAUAUUGGGAUUGGAUUCCUUAAAUUUGGAAAAUAUAAAAUGUAAAUAUGAGCCUGUUCACCUAUCAUAUGAUAUAUUGAAAAAAUGCAUCAAUAAGAUGAUCACAUGUACAUUUAUUGUCAACUUGUAGUUUCACAUUCACAAAGUUGCUUGCUCAAUUUCAGAUUAUGUAAUCAAGACAAUUCAUCUUGAUAAUAUUGGUAGAUAUUAAAUGCCUGUGAUAAAUAGUUGAAUUAUUGCUGAUGAGAGCAAAGCUUUAUGUGUUAGUCUGAAAUAUGAUAUGUUGUAUACAAUAGCACUUGUAUGUAUUAGACCAAUAAAUUAUGAUUAUUUUUUCCCUCUCAAUUGGUUUAAGGUCAAGAACCAAAUAUUCCAUUCUAAACUUUUUUGAUAUGGGAUAUAUGAUUAAUGAAUAUACCAUGAUACACAAAGAUGGAUAUGUUAGUUUUUCUAAUAUGAGGGGGAGAUAGUAAACAACUAAGAAAUAUGUUGUAAAUUAUCAUCAAUAUGAUCCUCAUUCAAAGGAUAAUUCAAGUUCAAAUGCUAGGAGCGUUUGCUGACACAAAGAUUGAUAUUAUGUUUAGCGGUAUAUUAGUUGUAAAUGCUCCAAUUGGAUGUACCUGAAGGACAAACUCUACUACAUGUAUGAAGCAUGGUAGAUUAAUCGGUUCUAAAAGCAAUAAUCUUGAAAAAUAAAAAGGAGCAAAUGAUCAUAAUUAGGAGACACUGUGCUCUUAAAGAGCCUACGACAUAACACUUCAUGAAACCCUACAAAAGAGGUUGAGGUACAUGGAAAUAAUGAAGUGAUGAGAUCUCAAAAUAUUAUGUCACAUUGUAAACCUAUAAAAGAUAAUAUAUCAUCGAUAAUAUCUUUGAUACAAUAUUGGUCAAUAUUAUAAAAGAUUAUGAGGAUCUGAAUUCUACGUUUAUUAAGCAUGCUGACGUAGAAAUAUUUAUCAAGUGACACGGAAUGAUGCAUCUUGGUAAACAUAAAACUUAUUUGAUUUGUAGUCCAAACAAUUGAAGAUGUCACAUAUGAAAUGCUGAAAUUGUCACUUGACAAAAUUUAUAUGAAAACUUUUAAUUCAAAAUAUUUGAAGCAUAUAAAAGUUUUUGUGAAACUUAUUUAUAAUCCUUAUAUAGUAUAAAUUUAUAACUUAAAAAUUAUUGAAACACCUGGAGAGUUUUCAAAAGUGAUAUAUUAUUUGUUGAAAGAAGUUGAGAUAAGAAAAAUGCAAAAUUGGAUUGGAUCUUGAAGUACCAUAUCUUGUGCAAUUGAUGCAUUUACACAUCUUCUUGCAACUAUGAGCAUGAUAUAGUUUUACUUCAAUAUGUAGAGAGUGAAGUGAUCACUUGCAUAUUGCAAUUGAAAGUCCCUAUACAAAUGUGUUUAUGCUAACACAUAUUAUCAAGUUUUUGAAUACACAUGAUAUUCAUAUGAUUAACAUAAUGGUUCGAUACAUAAAUAAUACCUAUUGUUAUGAAGAGGGUCACUGUCAUACCAUGUAUACAUGACAUUCAUAUAAUGGUAAGAUGAUAUCUAUUCAUAAAGUAAGUCGAGAAUGUAUGUGGCUUAGGUUAAUGAUACCUAUCAUUUAAGAAAAAUGUGGUUUGAAAUGUGAAAAAGUACCUAUGAUUUUGCAUGAAGAUAAUUCAAUAUGCAUAGCACAACUCAAGGAAGGAUUUAUAAAAGGAGAUAUAAUGAAGCAUAUUUUGCCAAAACUUUUCUACAUACAUGAGCUUCAAAAGAACGGUGAUAUCAACAUGAAAUAAAUUUGUUCGAGUGAUCAUAUGACUAAUUUAUUCACAAAGUCUCUAUCAAUUAAAUCUUUCAAGAAGAUGAUGCACAAGAUUGAAAUGUGAAGAUUCAAGAUUCAAAAUUGAUGUCCUAAUCAGGGGGAGAAAAUACACAUUGUACUCUAUUUUCCUUUCAAGGUUUUGUCACACUGGGUUUUCCUUGUAAGGUUUAUAAUGAGGCAUCCGAAAUGUGUAUGAUUAGAGAUGUGUACUCUUUUUCCUUCACUUGAUUUUUUUCACUAGGUUAUUUCUAGUAAGAUUUUAACGAGGCACAUUAUCUAUCAAUUAGACAUUCAAGGGGUAGUGUUAUAAAAGUAUUAUUAGUCUCCUAUAUUCAGGGUCUAUGUUUUAAUAAUGACAAACUAAUGAGUAGACAUGUCCAGGAUAUUAAGGAUCUCUAAUGAUGGAAGGAGAGGCUAUUGAAAAUACACCAAAGAUGUAGAAUCUCUAAGGAAUCAAUUCAAGAUAUCCAAAAUAUCUCGCAAACAUCCAACAGCAAGAUUGCCAUGGAACAAUAUCAAUCAUGCAAAAUCAAUUCAAGAUCUCAAAGAAAAUCUUGAAAAGAAAAGCAAUCAUCCAAUAACAACUUGAUAGGAGCAAAAGAAAAGAAGAUCGUGGACUCAUCUGAUACAGAUGUGUAUAAGUACUGUGUAAAGACAUAUCUGAUAUGGACUACUGUACAGUAACAUUCCUCAAUCAAGGAAUCAAAUUAAAUCCUUGAUUGGGAUGAAAUCUCUUGGGUUUUCUUAUGAAGAGAAACGACUGAAGAAUAUAAAAGAGAGCACUGAAGAUCGAAGCAGUCACGCAACUUCAAGGAAGAAUCUCAAAGUCUCUUAAUAUUAGUCUCACAAGGCUUUGUACUUCUUAGUUUACAAUAGUUAUAUAGAGAGUAGAAUCAAGUCAACUUUGUAAUACAAACUAAAGCAGUGUCAUAAGAUCUAAAGAAUAGAAUAAGUCUUUAAAACUUAUUUUCAUCAUUGAACUCUACCUAACUUUGAAAAAUCUAAGAAAAUGUUAAAACCCAAGGGGACUAAAAGUAGGCACCACAUUGGUGUUCCAAACCAGGAUAAAUCUUCGUGGCUUUAUUUUAAAGAUGAUUAUUUACUUAUUCAAUUAUUUAAAUCUAAUCUGUUUUGUGAAAUGUACUGAUCUAUAGGCAAGUCGACAGUGAAGAGUCAAUAGUCGACUCAUAGAAAAUUUUCAAUUCACCUCUUUUUGAAUUUCAAUUUGUAUCAGAGCCAGGUUUCAAUAAUAGUAUUGAUUAAACGUACAUAUGCAAAGAUCAAAUGGAAUACUAUCAACUUCCCAGUGCUUUCUUCAAGACGGUCAUUCCUCCAUAAGACCACCAUACUUCAAUAGGCAACACUAAUCUUAUUGGAAGAACAAAUUUGGAAUCUUAUCCUAUCAAAUGACUUUAAAGCAUGCUUUGUCAUUAAAAAGGGACCAAAUCCAAUUCCAGGACACAAGGGGGAAAAGAAAAAAACCAGUAGCCUUUAAUGCCACACCAACUGAAGAGGAGGACUUUUUGGAAGAAGACAAUUGCGAAGGAAUGACUCUCAUAAAUUGAGUAAGACAAAUCAUGAGAUAGAGAAAACAAAGAUCCCAAGGAGCCAAAAAUAAUGAUUCCACUAGAAAUGAUGAUCGCUGUUAUCAUUGUGGAAGCAGUCCAUUUUAAACAAAACUGUUCAGAAUUAAGAAGAAUAUCAUCUAGAAAGAAUCAAAAUUUGGAUCUUGGAGUGAUGAAAAUGAAACUAAAGAAGAAAAGAAGCAACUAACAUGUGCUUUAUGGCAAAAGGUAAAUCUAGCGAGGUAAGACAACACGAAUGUUAUAACUAUAAUAUUAUUUAAUCUGACUUAGAUAUGAUAACUGAUGAGCUUCAAAAAGUUAUAGAUAAAUAUAAUAAACUUUCCCAAAAGAAGAAAAGCUAAAAAGCUUGACUUAAAAAAAAACUCAAAGAGGAACCAAGAAACUAUCAAGUUGAAAUAGAAACAUGUCAAAUUGAAAUUGACUUGCUUCAAGAAAAGCUUGAUGAUGUAAAAAUGCAAUUGAAUAGCAUUAAAAAAUCACUAAGUCAUAGUUUUGUGAGAUCAAAUUAUUUUUAAACCAACUCAAGUUGCUCAUCAAAAUCGUUUAAAUUAGCCAAGACCUUUUUCUCCUCACAAGGACCUGUCUGUUAUAUCUGUGGACCAGAAGGGUACAAAUUUUAUAGCUGCAGGCUAAACCCAAAAAGUGUGUGGGUUUGGAGGCAUAAAGGGAGAACAUCUAAUCCACCAGGACCCAAGACCACUUGGGUACCUAAACAAAAUUAAUUUUCUUAUUUUGCAGGAACAUUCCUGAAAAAGCUAUAAAAAGGAAAUAUGGGUCAUUGAUAGCAGAUGUUCCAGAAAUAUGACAAGAAAGAAAGAAAAAUUUUGUGCUUUAAAGAAAAUAGAAGGGGCAUUAGUCAGAUUCGGUGAUAAUGCUAGAUGAAAUGUCAUAAGAGUCAGCUGAGUAAAGCUCAAAUCCUCAUGUGAAUGUAUUGAAAUAUAUCUCAUAGAAGGCCUAAAACACAACCUGAUCAGCAUCAAUUAGCUAUGUGACACUGGAUUUGAGGUCUCCUUCAAAGCUAAAAAUUGUUUUAUUAAACAUGAUAAGAGAGAUAUCUCUCUUAUCGGUGAACAUAUUGAUAAUAUUUAUGUCUUAAAUAGUUCUGGUUUUGCUACCUUAACCUACCUCACUCUGCAAACCAAUGACACUUGGUUGUAGCACAGAAAACUUGGGCAUGCCAGUAUGCACAUCAUUGAGAAACUAUCCAGAUUAGAAUUGGUGAAAAGUCUGCCAAAACUCAAGUUUGAAAAGGAUCAUAUCUGUGAUGCCUGCUAAUUGGAUAAACAGACCCGAACGUCAUUCAAAGUCAAGGAAAUUGUCUGUACUACCUAACCUCUUCAAACAAUCCACAUGGAUUUAUUUGGCCCCACCAAAACCAUGAGUAUUGAUGGAAAAAGAUAUGCUUUCAUUAUUGUUGAUGAUUAUUCUCUCUUUACUUGGGUAAUAUUUCUUGCUCAUAAAUAUGAGUCUCACAAACUUUGAGAUCUUUUGUAGAAAAGUACAGAGGAAGCUGGACACCUUAUUACCUAUGUCUAUAAUGAUCAUGGAGAAGAAUUCGAAAACAAGGCUUUUGAGGAAUAUUGUGCUUUGAAUGAAUAUUCUCAGAACUUCUCAUCACCCCAGUCUUCUCAACAAAAUAGAGUGGUAGAGCAAGAGAAUCAGUCUCUCCAGGAAACUGCUAGGACUAUGAUGUUAGAACCCAAUCUCCUAAAUUACUUUUGGGUAGAAGUAGUAAGCACAAUAUGUCACAUAUCAAUAUACGCCUCAUCAGUCCUAUUCUAAAGAAGACGCCUUAUGAGUUGUGGAGAGGAAAAAACCAAAUAUCAGUUAUUUUUAUCCCUUUGGAUGAAAAUGCUUCAUCCACAACAACAGUAAGAAUAACUUGGGAAAAUUUGAUCCAUAAAAUGACAAAGGUAUUUUUCUUAGAUACUCUCCCACUAGUCGUACCUAUAGGGCUUACAACAAAAGAACAUUAUUUGUUGAAGUAUCUAUGCAUAUUGUGUUUGAUGAAACUAAUCUCCCUCCUAUGAGCUUAAAUAUUAUAAAGAACAGGUGAAUGAUGUAUAAUUUGGCGCCAACAUUAGCAUAAUUCUUGAGCCGAUGUAAGAUAAGUUGAUUACACCCCCUCCACAGUUGACUCCUAGAGUGGGAACAGUCAAACUGAGUGUUCUAAGAGAAUGGAAACAUGCUUCUAAUUAUACAAAAAAACUCAUCAUAAAAAAUCCAGAUGAUAGGGUACAGACAAGAGCAUCAUUAAGAAAACAAGCAUCUGUUGCUCUUGUAUCUCAAAUCAAACCAAAACAGAUCGAUGAGGCACUUAGAGAUGAAUCCUGGGUCAAGGACAUAAAGGAAGAGUUGGACAAAUUCGAAUGAAAUUAAGUUUGUACUCUAGUUGAAAAACCCAAGAACUGCUCAAUAAUUAGAACUAGAUGGGUCUACAGGAACAAAUUAAAUAAAGAAGGUAAGGUCAUCAGAAAUAAGGCCAGACUUGUAGGUCAAGGCUACUCUCAACAAGAAGGUAUUGAUUAUAAUGAAACCUUUGAUCCUAUAGCAAGGUUUGAAUCAAUUCAUAUUUCAUUAGCUUUUUCUGCUUAUAAAUGUUUCAAGUUGCAUCAAAUGAACAUCAAAAGUGCCUUUUUAAAUGGAUUUAUUCAUGAACAAGUCUUUGUAAAAAAAACCUCCUGAUUUUGAAAAUCCAGAUUAUCCAAACCAUGUUUUAAAAUUAUCAAAAGCACUCUAUGGUAUCAAACAAGCUCCGAAAGCUUAGUAUGAGAGAUUGAGUACUUUCUUGCUAAAUAACAAUUUUCAAAUAGGUAAAAUUGAUACAACUUUGUUCACAUAAAAGCUUGACUAAAACCUUUAUAUUGUGCAAAUUAACAUUGAUGAUAUUAUUUUUGGUAGUCCUAACAUCUCUCUGUGAGAGAAUUUCGCAAACCUGAUACAAGGAGAAUUUGAAAUGAGUCUCAUGGGAGAGCUCACAUUUUUCUUGAGACUAUAAAUUAAGCAAACUCUCAAAGGUACUUUCAUUAGUAAAGCUAAAUACACAAAGAAAUUCAUCAAAAAAUUCAACAUGGAAAAAAAAAGGCUUAUGGAACUCCGAUGAGCCCAUCCAUGAGUCUUGAUUUAGACUCAUCUAGAAAACACGUUGAUAAGAAAAUGUACAGAGGAAUUAUUGGAUCACUAUUCUAUUUGACCACUAUUCGACCAAACAUUAUGUUUAGCUUAUGUAAGUCUUCCAGGUUCCAGUCGACUCACAAAGUCUCAUCUGAUGUCAUCAAAAGAAUCAUUUGAUAUCUUAUAGGAACUGAUUGGACUAUGGUACCCCUGCUCCUCUUAUUUCAAUUUAAUUAGAAAUUCAUAUGCUGACUUUGCAGGGGAUAAAAGUGAUAGAAAAAGCACUAGUGGAACAUGUCAAAUUCUUGGUGAUGCCCUAAUUUCAUGCACAGUAAGAAGCAAACUUCAGUUGCUCUUUCAACAACUGAAGCUAAAUACAUAUUCGUUGGAAGUUGUGGUACUUAAAUUUUAUGAAUUAUGCAUCAACUACUUGAUUUUAAUCUAUCUUUUGAAUUUGUUCCCAUAAUGUGUGAUAACACAAGUGCUAUUAGUUUGUUUAAAUAUAUUGUGCAUCAUUCUAGGGCUAAAUAUCUUGAUACUAAGCAUUAUUUUAUUCGAGAUCAUGAAGAAAAUAGAGACUUUUCUUUAAUAUUUGUUGACUCAGAAAAUCAAUUGGCAGAUAUUUUAUGAAGCCCUUGUUAGAAAAAGAUUUUGUUACCUUAGAAAAAGACUUGGUAUUCUCAGUAUUAAUGACCUAUGAGUUUUAUAUUUGGACAAAAAUAUUUUUACUUACUCUAAUUUUCUCUUCAAAACCUUUUAACCAAAAAUUAGUUUUCAACAAAGGGAGUCAUCAUUAUUUUUACCAGCUUUUACGCCACCUUUGCCGCUUCUGCACCCCUUUACCUUUCCAACGCACCCUUUUGCCAUUCUUUUACUCCAUCAGUCACCUUUCUCUUUACACCUCUUCUCAUUCCCCUUUAUUUAAUUUCUAAGCAAUUGCCUACAUUCUCUCUCUCUCUUCAUUCACUUACCGUCCUCUAUUCUCCCUCUCUGUCUCUUUAAAAUCCAUCUCUACCCUUUUCCCAUGACAAAAAAUGGUUCCAUGGCUAGUGUUUCCAAAUCUCUCCCUAAAUCUCUCUCUAAAAGUCCUAUUAUCCUCUCUGAGUUCUCUGACGAAUCCUUGCCAGAUUCUCAACAGUCCACUUUUAUCAAAAGACGUCAUCCCACUUCUAGCCCAACCCCUUCUACCAAGAAACCUUGAACUACCUCUCUAAAUUUCUUCCCUCCAGUGGGUAUGCAAAAAUUCUGGACAUGCUCUCAGAAAGAAAAAUUUUCUUCCUUCAAAAAUCACCCUAUUGUACUCAGUCGCAUAAUCAAUCUCUGUCUAUUAAAAGACUUCUUCUGUAAUAUCAGUCACUUCUUUAAAUUUGAAGAUUUGUUCCUGAUUUUUCAUCUCUGUGGACUUGAGGUUUAUGAAGAUCCAGUCCAUAGUUUUAUGUGAAUCUCUAUCUCUCUCCUUAUAGUGGUGAACUUGGGCCUCUUGUGCUUGGCACAAGAAAAUUCCCAAUGAUUUUCUGUUCGAGAAGGUUUUGACACAAAGUUCUCCAGUGUGAUUUUUUUCGUGAAUGGUACCUGGCCUGAAAACUUUGAGGUGAGUUUUGAUGAAGCAACAAGGAUUUUUUCUGACUCGAACACAUCAUCAUCUAAUUUUGGUCCUUUGUACUUGUGUUUCAAGUAUCGCAUCAUGGCCCACAUAAUAGCUACCACACUGAUUCCAAGGAAGUGAUCCCUCAGCAACAUCACUUGUCGCGAUAUAUUUGUCAUGUACUGUCUAGUUAAGAAACAUAAGAUUAAUUGGGCAACCUGUAUUUGUGAUUAUAUGCUUAAAAGUGCAGCAGAUAUUUAUGCCUCCACCAGUUUACCAUAUGGCGUGUUAAUAUCUAAAAUUCUAUUGUACUACUCUACUGAUCUCUUUACUUACCCCCCGAUGGAAGUGAUAUAGAAAUAAUCUCGAAUAUUGACUUAGGAGAGUGCGUGUUGGACCCGAGCCUUGCCAUGUGCAAUUGAAGUGUAAAAAAGGCCCAAAAUGCACCCAAAUCAGCCCAUAAAUUACACUAGAUGGGUGCCCACUCUUUGAAGGGCCUUUUGGUCAUUUUAAGUUAUAUUUUGUAAUAGUUAUAAAAGGAACAUUGUAGGGUUUUUAGAUUUAGUUUUUUAUGAUAUUUGUGAAUCUUGAAAAAACAAAGAACACACGUCCUCUCUCCUUGAGGCACCAAAACCGAAACUAGGAUACAACAAUAGGGUGGAUUCUCUUUUGUUGUUGUUUGCUUGGAAACGUUGAUCCUAGAGAGGUGCAAUCCAAUAUUGUGUCACGUAAGAGAUAGGUUUAUUGUUGUGUGUAGUGUUAAGGGUCCGAGAGUGUCCAUUCUUGGGUUCUUAAGAUUAUACCUUCAUGUGGUCUAUCUAUCUAUCCCUUUACUUUCUUGUAAUCGUGUUUAGUGUUUGUGUUGUAAUCUUGUGUUCUUGUUGUUAUUGUUAAAUCUGAAUAUUGUGUCUUGUGUUCAUCUUGUUCUUCACGUAUUGUUGUUGUUUUGGUGUGAAAUACACCUUGCUCACCUUGUAUUCUUGUUGUAUUUGUGAAUUCGAGAGAGGUCUCCAAUCGGUCUAAGAUCUUAGUGAUUUGUGGACUAUUUUGGAGUGUGUUUAUGGGCUGUUUUUGAGUGAUUUUGUGUCUUUCAAGUUUUUAUCAUAUCAUUUGGUAUCAGAUCAUGGCUUGAUCUUAUUCCCACAAGAUCGAUCUUGGUCUUGUUAGUGAAAGAAUAAAAAAAGUGUUCAAAACUGAAAAAUUCUAGAAAAAAUAGCAAUUUGUCCGUGUUGUGUUCUUGGCCGAAAAUGUGUUCUUGUUGUGUCUUGGCCGAGAUUUUUACUUGUAUUUGUUGUCUCUAAGUGUUAAUUUUUUUCCUGACUAACACAUUGAGUCUAUAUCUAGAUUUAAGCUUUAAAAAUUAAUGUUGUUGUUGUGCACAAGAAGUGGCCAUGAGUUGAAGUUGUUGUUUUAACUUGGUUGUGUGGUGACCUUGUUGUUGGGCGUUGGUUGAUGUUGUUUUUGAUCUUGGUGGUUGUUUUUAUGUUCUUGUUGUUCAUCACAACCUUCAUCUAGUGUUAAAACUGAAAAUACAACACCAAAGAAACUUGGCCAUUUGUUGGUGGUUUUAUUGUUGGUCUUAUUGUUGUGGAAUUGGGCGCUAGAACUUGUUGUUGUUCUUGGGAGAUUGUUGUUGGUUGUUCUUGUUGUAGUUGUUGUGUUCUUGAAGUUCUUCAUCAUAUUCAUCACCUUGUUAACACAAAGUUAACGAUAGAUCCUAAAAAAGGGAAGGAAAGAAGUGUAAGUAAUUGUUAGUCUUGAAAGACCCCCAACCACCAAAAGACUUUACAUCACUUCUCAAUUCCACUUUCCCAUGAAACAAGGGUCCAUGUUUUAAGGAGAAGAACAAGUCUAGUCAAAGACUUUUGAGUCUUCAAAUUUGAAUUCCAAAGACUAGUUUGUAUUUUCCUCUAUUGAACAAUUUCCAUCAAAGUCCAAAUUGUAGAAUUGAUCAAGACUUCCAAAUUUGGAAGAUAAAAUUGUUGACCGAGGCCAAUCAAGGACUGCCACAUCACCAAUUACUGUUCACUGACAAAUUUUAAGCUNNNNNNNNNNNNNNNNNNNNNNNNNNNNNNNNNNNNNNNNNNNNNNNNNNNNNNNNNNNNNNNNNNNNNNNNNNNNNNNNNNNNNNNNNNNNNNNNNNNNNNNNNNNNNNNNNNNNNNNNNNNNNNNNNNNNNNNNNNNNNNNNNNNNNNNNNNNNNNNNNNNNNNNNNNNNNNNNNNNNNNNNNNNNNNNNNNNNNNNNNNNNNNNNNNNNNNUUGUGAGAUUGAGUGUGAGGGAUCCGAGAGACAAGAAAUAAAAGAGAGAGUGAGGAUGUUUUUGUACAACUAAUGUGUUUUCUGUUUUGUAGGUAACUCCUUUGCCAUAAUGGACACCAUUUUAGCCCACCUUGAUGCUAUUACCCGAGAAAUAGCUAAGGCGAAUGCGGGUCUUACCAAAUUGGGCUCGGAUAUGUCUACUAUACUUGAGAGGUUGGAUCAAGUGGAGAGCCGAAGGAACUCUCAUGUUUCUACUCCCAAAGCUUUACCUCAAACUAUCAACCCUCCAUGACCACCACUAAAUGACAUAGACAUAAGCCAAGCCAACAAAUGUCCUCAAACUCGAGACCUAAAUGAGUCACUUCCCCCCCAAUUCGAUCAAGUCCAACAAGAGGGACUUGGAAGCCAAUUUUCUCCCAUCCAAGCUCUACAACCAAAGCUCUCCCUUACCAAAUAAUUCUUCUCAACCGAAACUCUACUUCACCAAAACCAAUAUAUCCAUGUAGAGGAGUAUGGUAGAAAGGAACAUGAAGGAUAUGAAGACUACUACAAUACUUGUAUAAUGGUAGAAACUUGUUUCGGAUAAGAUUGAAGACAAGGCUAAGAUGGAGAGGAAGCCGAGGUUCAAAAUAAAGAUGUUGGCCGAGACUUGUUGUUAUUGAGUCUUCGGAUUCUUCAUGAUUUUGUGGACUAUUUUUGUGACUUGUUUGUGGAUUGUUUUGAGUAGAUUUCCUUUGAAGUGACCAAUUGAAUGAGGUGAAGCCAUGAAUUUGUGGACAAAUUCCUCUCAAGAUGGAGAGGAUAAUACGGGAAUAAUCUCAGAUAUGCACUCACCCGACCCUUGGCAUGUGCAAUUGAAGUGUAAAAGAGGCCCAAAAUGCAUCCAAAUCAGCCCAUAAAUUACACUAGAUAGGUGUCCACUCUUUGAAGGGCCUUUUGGUCAUUUUAAGUUAUAUUUUGUAAUAGUUAUAAAAGGAACAUUGUAGGGUUUUUAGAUUUAGUUUUUGAUGAUAUUUGUGAAUCUUGAAAGAUCAAAGAACACAAGUCCUCUCUCCUUGAGGCACCAAAAUCGAAACUAGGAUACAACAAUAGGGUGGAUUCUCUUUUGUUGUUGCUUGCUUGGAAAUGUUGAUGCUAGAGAGGUGCAAUCCGAUCUUGUGUUACGUAAGAGAUAGGUUUAUUAUUUUUUGUAGUGUUAAGGGUCCAAGAGUGUCCAUUCUUGAUACAAGAAAACCAAGGGAUACACGAAAUUACACUCCAAACAUUCCAUAAAUCACAAGAUUCGAGGACCUAUUGGAGGCCAACUCUCGGAUUCACUACAACACACAAUGGCGAGAUAGAAAGGUGUGUUUUCAACACAAAAACAGCAAAAACAACAAUAAUAUGAGAACAAUAUGAUAAGAACAAUAAAAACAAGAGACAACAACUCACGGGUUGAAGAUUACAAGAUACACAAACGGUUACAAGAUUACAAUAAAUGAAAGGGAUAGAUAGUUAGACCUUGGUUGGUAUAAUCUUAAGAACCCAAGAAAAUGUGAUACUCUUGAACCCUUAACGCUACACACAAUGGUUAACCUAACUCCUACGUUGACACAAGAGGGACUUUACCUCCUCUAAACAGCAACGUCUCAAGCCAUGAAUGCAACACUAGUGAUUCUACACUAGUAUCACCUUAGUUUCGGGUUGCCCCCUAAAGAGAAGAGAGGAAUUGUAUUUCAAAGUGUUAUAAAACUUACAAUAUCAUCAAAGUUUCAGACAAAAAUGACCUACAAUGUUCUAUUUAUACUAGGUUACAACUAGAAUACAAAAUAACCAAAAGGCCCUUUAAUGAAAAGCCUCAAAAUGUCGCCCAUGGAGUGUAGUGUAGGUUCGGUUUUGGUGUGUGUUUUAGGCCCUCUUUUGUAUUUUUUUGCAUACUCCAAGCCUCGGGUUCAUUACACUUUCACACUUCCAUCCUCGUGGUCGUACUUGUAUCAUCCUCUCUUUCUUGAAUAGGAUUCAACCUCGAAUCUGUACCUUACAAAAUCAAGAGAAGAUAAACAAGCACACAUCCUCAUGACAUGAGGGGUUAGGGUUAGAAAAAAAUAACACAUCAACAUGCCAUGCCGAGGCGGAACAAACUUAAAGUAUAGCCAUGGGUCCUUUGUUUUAAUCAUCAAAAGAUUAGUACAAAUGCUACAAAGGAGGUGGCUCGGGCAAGCAUCAAGACAAAAGGAAAAUAGGCCAAGAGUAAUCCUUUCCCACCCUAAGAUGGUACCGGGAUCAAAUGGGUGGAGUAACCAAGGACUUAGGCCUCGGCCACUCUCACUUUCCCCUAAGGUUCCGUCUUCAAAAUUAGGCAUACCCUCUAUAUCCCUGUGGAAAAUAUCAUGAGUAAAAAGAGGAUAAAGAAAGGUGUCACAAGAGUCAACUCCAACUAUGAUCUCCUUAUGCAUGUACUCACUAGUUUCAAGUCCAACAACACUAGUAGGCUUAACAUGGGAAACACAUAAAGAAGUAGAUGGAAUUUCUAAGCAUGCAACACUUUCUCUUUCAAGAGAGUAGUCCCUACAUAGACAUAAACUAUCAUGGGCAGCAAAGGGAUCACAAGCAAAACCAUCUUUACCAAGACAAUCACAAUUCGGGUUUCCUAAAUAAUCAAGCACGUCAAGGUCAUUUCCACCUGAUUGAUCAUUGUCCACAACCUCACUAGUUGUUGGCAACUCAUAUACCAACAUAGACCCAACUUGGUUUUCACAAGGGUCAACUAGUGUGUGAAUACUCUCGUCACUUGGUAAUGGAACCUUAGUCAAGUUAUAAGUUCUAGCACUAGAUGGACAUAAAUCAUUCUCACGAGGAGAAUCAAUUUCAUCAUCUAAAGGAUCAACUAGUGCUUGUAUACCUACAAUAAGAUUUUGGUCCUCAUGUGACCUAACAAUACUGAGAGUAUCACAAAAAGGAGACUCGAGCACCUCUACCCUAGGCAAAGUCGUAACUACACCUACUUGGCUCCUACUAGCCACAACACAACAUUCUAAGUUCAUAGGAGUGUAAGGGAUAAUUUUUUACCUCGUAACUCAUGUGAGCUACGACCUUCCUCUUUAUGUGUGUCCGGGCAGCCACUUGCUCCCUUUGACCUACCGUACGAUCCAACCUUUCAUUUGCCAUAGCUAGGUCUGGGACAUAGUGUCAAGGUAGGCGAAAAUGACAUUGGUGGCAUUGUUGUCCAUGGGUUGAGAGGUUGAAACCGCGGGUUCCCUUGUAAUUGUACCUAAAAAAGUAAAGAAAAGAACAAACCUACAAAGCAAAACACAAGUUAGUUCGAAACAACCUCACCAUACUCUCACACACUUAAUUAUCUCACACUUGGAUUCACAAGUGAUGCAAGUCGGCUCGUAGUUCGUGAUAAAUCGAGGGGUGAGUCUACUCCUUGGUCGGAAUGAAUUCUUUGUUUGAAGACUCAAGGAAAGUAGUGUCCGAACUUGAACUAAGAAGUACUAUGAUUUUAAAAAUGAUAAAAGCACAAAAGAAACGUAGACACAAACAAUAGAUUCAAAGGACUAAUUAACAAUCUAGUAGGAGUUUACUAGUUUAUUAAUUAGUACUAGAAUUAAUUAAACGAAACGAACGAUUAACAAAUAAGAAACAAAGACAUCAAAAUUUAACCUUUAAAAUUAUCGAUGAACAGUAAAAUAUGACAUGGCAACCAUGUAUUGGUUACGGUUGUUAUCAAAUUUUAUUUUCCAAUUCAAGUCUUGAUCCGAUUGUAAUUUAGAAUUGGUUAAGAAGGAAAAAAAAGUCUUGAAAUCCUCUUUUAAAUUCAAAAAGCAAGACUUGACUUUUCUCCUCAAGACAAGGUCCUUAAAUCAUGGAAAAGUUGUUGAGAAGUGAUUGAUAGGUCUUUAGUGGUUGGGGGUCUUUCAAGACUAACAAGUUUCUACACCUUUUCCUUCACCUUUUUGGAUCAAAUAAGCAAUUUAUUUUUCUAUAAAGGUAUGAAGUUAGUGAUGAAAAUCAAGAACAACAACAACAUUAACCAAGAACAACAACAAUAAUUUUCAAGAACACCAACAAUUCCCUUUUCACAGCCCACUCUAAACCCACAACAAUAUUGUCUCACACGGCCAAGACUACCAUAUCUUUAACAAAAUUGGUCUUAGGACACCAAUUUUAUAACAACAUCACACGGCCAAACUAAGAACAACAACAAUAUUCACAUUACAAUUCCAAACCGUGAGCCACAACAACACCAACAACAAUCUGCCAAGCUUAUGUUCGCAACAACAUCAACAUUUCAAGCUCAAAUUUAAGAUAUAGACUCAAUGUUUUAGUGAGGAACAAUACCAACACUUAGAUACAACAAAGAAAAGUAAAAAUCUUGGCCAAUACACAAUAAGAACACAAUUUUUGGCCAAGAACACAAAUUGGACAGAUUGCUAUUUUUCUGGAUUUUCAAUUUUUUUCAUCAAUAUUUUUUUAACUAACAAGCCCAAGAUUGAUCUUGUAGGAACAAGAUCAAUCCAUGAUUUGAUACCAAAUGAUAUAAUAAAACAAAGGGAUACGCAAAAUUACACUCCAAACAGUCCACAAAUCACAAGAUUUGAGGACCUAUUGGGGACCAACUCUCGGAUUUACUACAACACAUAAUGACGAGAUAGAAAGGUGUGUUUUUAACACCAAAAUAGCAAAAACAAUAAUAAGAUGAGAACAAUAUGAUAAGAACAAUAACAACAAGAGACAACAACUCAUGGGUUAAAGAUUACAAAAUACACAAACGGUUACAAGAUUACAAUAAACAAAAGAGAUAGAUAGUUAGACCUUGGUUGGUAUAAUCUUAAGAACCCAAGAACAUGUGAUACUCUUAAACCCUUAACUCUAUACACAACGGUUAACCUAACUCCUACAUUGACAUAGGAGGGACUUUACCUCCUCUAAACACUAACGUCUCAAGCCAUGAAUGCAACACUAGUGAUUCCACACUAGUAUCACCCUAGUUUUGGGUUGCCUCCUAAAGAGAAGAGAGGAAUUGUAUUUCAAAGUGUUAUACAACUUACAAUAUCAUCAAAGUCUCAGACAAAAAUGACCUACAAUAUUCUAUUUAUACUAGGUUACAACUAGAAUACAAAAUAACCAAAAGGCCCUUUAAUGAAAAGCCUCAAAAUGUCGCCCGUGGAGUGUAGUGUAGGUUUGUUUUUGGUGUGUAUUUCUGGACCUCUUUUGCAUUUUUCUUGCACACUCCAGCCUCAGGUUCAUUACACUUUCACACGUCCAUCCUCGUGGUCGUACUUGUAUCAAUUCUUAGGUUCUUAAGAUUAUACCUUUAUGUGGUCUAUCUAUCUAUCCCUUUAAUUUUUUGUAAUUGUGUUUAGUGUUUGUGUUGUAAUCUUGUGUUCUUGUUGUUAUUGUUAAAUUCGAAUCUUGUGUCUUGUGUUCAUCUUGUUCUUCACGUAUUGUUGCUGUUUUGGUGUGAAAUACACCUUGCUCACCUUGUAUUCUUGUUGUAUUUGUGAAUCCGAGAGAGGUCUCCAAUCUAUCUAAGGAUCUUAGUGAUUUGUGGACUAUUUUGGAGUGUGUUUGUGUACUGUUUUUGAGUGAUUUUGUGUCUUUCAAGUUUUUAUCAUAUCAGGAAGUGAUUGUUACUUAUGACUCCAAAACUUUUGCCAGUAUGGGCUAUGUUUUUGUUGAUAAAUAGUGCAAGAAGUAUUCUGCCCGAUUAAAAUCUGAACACCCUAAGGUAACAAAUCUGUUCCUAACACUAUGAUUACUGUGUUAAAAGAACUAGAGGAAAUCAAAGAUCACUUCAAAGUUGUUGAGAAAGGUAUCCAGCUGCUUCAGGAGCUGUAACACCUCAAUUUUUGAAUUGGAAUGCUACACGGUGCUCAUGACCCCGAGGGACCACAAGCUAACUCAUGACUGAUAUCUGUACCUGUACACUGCAUAAUAUACAUAUAAUACGCGGAAAACCUAAACAUGUAGGCCAUAAGUUCAACUGAAGAGAUAUAGUAACAUCCAUGGGGUAAUGAAUACCCAAAAUAACUGAAUAUAAAACUGAAUACUGAAUCUGAUAGCUAAAUCUGACUAAAUCUGAAAGCCUCUCUAAGUACUUUCUGAAUAAGGAGUUGAAGAAAUAUGUCUCCAACUAACUCCAUAAAACUGAACUAAAAUAAUAAAUAAAUAAAUCAAAUCAUAUUAUCCUCGAAUGGAUGAUGACUCACUGCAACACUGCGAUUGGAAAGCUACUGCUGGUCUGGAACUUGUGGCUCUGGACCUAUAGUGUAAUAUGAAAAAAAAGCACCAUAGCGCAAAUGCAUCAAUACAACUGGAGUACUGAGUAUACGAGUGAGGUAGGCUAAUGCAAAGGGUUUACAUACAUGAAUAAUGCUAACUGACUGACUGAUAUGAAUGUACGAGUACAAACAUACAUACAUAGUAACGGAGAUCGUGAGUAUGUGGUAGCAAAAUUUGUACGCUAAUACAUGGCUGGAACUGUAGUUGUGAUAACAUGAGCGACUAUGUUUGACAUUUCUGAAUUUGGUAAAACUCUCUGAGUCCCAUGCUAUAAUUGAAUUUGACUGUAUCUAACAGUCCUGGUAUAUUGAUAUUUGAAGAACUGUCUGAGUUUUACUACUGAGACUAAUACUGAAACUGUGGGAGAUAGUUGUUUAACUGGUAUGCCCCAUGUAUACCAUUACGGCUAAGCUAGGGUCUAAUCUUUGCCUCGACUGGAUGGGUGUCAAUACCGCACCACUGGUAAGGACAUGAGUGACCUUUAUCUGGUAGGUACUCAAAGUGAGAAUGGUGGGAGCCUAAACUGACAAGUUAAGCCACCUCAUCAACCCUAAUCUGACAGGUUAAGAUGUCUCAACCUACACUGGCUACAUUGUUCUGGAACAUAAGGAUGAAUGCUAAGAAUCAUACCCUGAACUGGCAGGUGAGUUCCCAUCCUUGGGUUCACUCGGUGCUAACUUUUACUCCCAUCUGAAGGGACUGAACAUGAUUCAACUGGCUGUACAUAGAUUGAAUAACUGACAUCCGUUGACUGACGGAGUAGAACUAUUAUCUGAGAGUUAACUGAGAUAGAUUUCUGAUAUUUCUUGAGUCACAUGACUGACUGAGUUCUAUAGAGUAUAGCUUGACUAAGAUUUAUCGUGGCACAUGACAUGGCUCUAGGUAUACAACUAUAUUUUUUGGGUACGAAUACCCCCAGGACUCGAUAGAAGGAAACUGACACACAUGACAUGACUUGAUCACAAGAUUAGAGUCCACAAUUCACAAUAUUAUAAGUAGGGGAUAGUAUACUUCAUGUAUUUAUUCAUAUCUAAACAUGGUAGGGAGAGCAUGGAUACAUUUCGUGUAUAUAAUUCAUAUUUUCAUUAUCAUACAUGCUUCAUGCCACAACAACAACACAUAAAUAGCAUGGAAAUUCAUAUGGAAGUGUAUAGCUAAUAUGGACUUGUCAUUUAGAUAUCAUGGAAUCAUGUAAUUAUGGGUUUCUAGCAUCCUAGGCAUUUUAUCAAACACUUUUCAUACAUCAAUACCAGAAUAAUCCCGGACAUAGAUUUAUGAGAGUGUAUGUUGGAUUUAAUACUUGGUGUGUUCAAUUGAAGAUCCAAAUAGGACCUAAUUAUGCACCCAAAACAGUCCAAACACUACACUUGGGCUACAUUUGAUGGGAGCCCAUCACUUAAGGGCCUUUUGAUCAUUUUUAUCUUUCAUUUUAUAAUAACUAUAUAAGUAACAUGCUAGGGCUUCCAUUAGGGGUUUUUGGGGAUAUUAUUGUAAGUCUUGUAAGACUUGAAACACCAUAGUUAGGUCUUGAAAAAGCCACCAACCAAAACAAGGGAAAGAUCUAGUGUGGAAUUACUAGUGAUUAUGUUUGCUUGGAAACAUUGAUGCUUGGGAGGUGAAAUCUGAACUUGUAUCUUUGUAAGAGAUAGGCUUAUUAUUGUAUGUAGUGUUAAGGUUCCAAUAUUGUCCAUUCUUGGGUUCUUAAUAUUAUACCUUCAUGUGGUCUAUCUAUCUAUCCUUUUACCUUCAUUUAAUCUUGUCUAUUGUUGUGUUGUAAUCUUGUGUUCUUGUUGUUAUUGUUAAAUUCAAAUCUUGUGUAUUCUUGUUCAUCAUAUAUUAUGGUUAAUCUUAGUUUGAACUGCUGAUUUGGUGUCAAAUACACCACUAUAUCUUGUAAUCUUAUUAUUGGUAGUGAAUUCGAGAGUGGUUUCCCUCUUGGUCCUCGAAUCCUUAAGAUUUGUGGACUGAUUUGGAGUGUUUUUCGUGCCUUCCUUGUUAGUCUUGUAUCAUGCAUUCUUUAAAGCAUAGGUGGAUUUCAUACUUGCAUCACAUCAAACCACCUAAAGUUCAUGUUUUUGAACUAACAACCACAUAUAUUUCAUGAAAACAUCUUUAGAUAUCAUUUUGAAACUUAAACAACAAUCAUCAAUAUGUACAUGCUUAAAUCACCACAAAAAGUUUAAAAAAUAACAUUUAAAAACAUGGUUCUUGAGCUCUAUGAACAGAUUGGAUCCAUAGAUGAACACUACACAUACCUUAGAUUAAGAAUUCGUAGAAUCUACGGUUGAAUUUGCUUGAAGCUUGAAACCUCAAUGGAAACCCUAGACUUGUUCUUGACUGUUCUUGAGUGAAUUUUGAUAAAAUUAAUGAAAAGGGCUGCUUUGGGGAUUCAAUACUGUGUUUAAAGAGUAUAUAUAGGGAGGGUUUUGGGAAGUUACCAUAUUGCCCAUGAGAAGUUUAAAACAAAAACUGAAAACUACCCAAAAUUUAUCCCGAUUUAGGGCCCUGGCGCGACGCGAAGCUUGGUAAAAUGCCAAUUAUUGCGACCUAGAAGCUUGGCACAAAGCAGGGUUAUCGCGGAGGCUUUCUGGAAAUUGACGAGUGCCAUUUUGGCUUCCGGCGCGACGCGCCAUGCACUGAAAUGGCAUUUGUCUUACAACAGAAACUUAAAAUAGCCAUAACUUCUUCACCGCGUGUCCGUUUUAGGCUAAUUCGGUAUCGACGGAAAGAUUAUUAAAUUAUAUAUCCAUUGGUAGGUUAUGGGAUCAAAAUUUCAUAGUAUAAUGAGAGAUAUUAUUGUUUGAAGUUGAAAAUACCAAUAUCCUUCUCAAGAAUUCAAUCGGUAAGGAAUGUUUUGAUUCGCACAAUAGCUAGGACAUAUUUGAGACCUUAAUUCACAUCAAACUUGAUCAUGAAACAACCAAGGAACCAUAAUGUACUAUGCAUAAGCUUGAAACAUGGAGCUAAUAUUGAGUUGGAUUUUUUGGGGUAUUACAGGAGUCGACUUCCAAACUUCUAGACCUUGGGAAGAGUACCAGCACUAGAAUAUGUAUGGUUUGGUUGGCUCUCAAUGGGUUCAAAUAGGAGGGCAUCAAGUUGUUUAAUCAAGUGUUCACCUACAUGGACUCCCUCCAGUCCCAAGUCAACUCCCCCAAUGAUGAUCUUGGUAUUUUCGUUCAGACCUCCUACUCUUCCUUCUUAAAAAAUGUUGAGAAAUCCUAUGACAAAUUCUAUCAAAAUAUGCAUAAUACCCUAACCUAAUUUUUGGCUAAGAGGUGAAUGAUGACUUUUUAUUCAAAAGGGGGUCCUCUUUCUUAUUUUUGAUGGGUUGUACAAUGAUAUUUGUAACACACUAUCUGCCACCUUUCCUUGUUUUGAUCUAGACCUUGGUACUUAAUUGGAUUAUCUCUAUGCUAUAUGAUUACUAUUCUUUCUGCUAUGUUGUUCUUUUUGAUUAUGCCAAAAGGAGGAGAACGACAAGAACCUACAAAUCAGCGGAAACAAGUUGACUAUCAAUGAUAAAGAGCCGACUGAUGUUCAAGGUACAGAAAAAUAUCAAAAUUAACUACAAAUCAGGGAGAGAAAGCCGACUAUUGUGACUAGGAAGUCAACUUAUGUUUAAUGCUUAUUUGUCAUUAGCAAAAAGGGAGAGAUUGUUAGCCUCCUAUAUUUAUGGUAUAUGUUUUAAUAAAACUAAUGAGUAGAAAUUUGUAGGAUAUUAAAGAUCUCUAAUGAUGGAAGAAGAGGAUAGUGAAGAUACACCAAAGAUAUAGAAUCUCUAAGGAAUCAAUUCAAGAUAUCCAAGAAUAUCUCGCAAGCAUCCAACAAUAAGAUGGUCAGCGCUAAACUUGGAACAAUAUCAAUCAUGCGGAAUCAAUUCAAGUCUCUAAGAAAAUCUCACAAAGGAAAGCAAACAUCCAACAACAAUCUGACAGGAGCAAAACGAAAGAAGAUCACAGAUGUAUCUGGUAUAGACAUGUAUAAGUAUCGUGUACAUAUCUGAUAUGGACAUACUAUACGGUAACAUUCCUCAAUCAAGAAAUCAAAUCAAAUCCUUGAUUGGGAUGAAAUAUCUUGGGUUUUCUUACGAAGAAAAAUGGCUAAAGAAUAUAAAAGAGAGGACUAAAGAUCGAAGCACUCACGCAACUUCAAGGAAGAAUCUCAAAGUCUCUAAAUCUUAGUCUCACAAAGCUUUGUACUUCUUAGUUUACAAUAGUUAUAUAAAGAAUAGGAUCGAGUAAACUUUGUAAUACAAGCUGAAGCUGUUUCACAAGAUCUAAAGAACAAAAUAAGUCUUCAAAACUUGUUUCUCAUCAUUGUACUCGACCCCAACUUUGAAAUAUCUAAGAAAACAUUGAAACCCAAGGGGGUUGGAAGUAGUCACCAUAUUGGUGUUCCGAACCAGGAUAAAUCUUCGUGUCUUUACUUUAAAGUUGAUUGUUUACUUGUUCAAUUAUUAAAUCUAAUUUAUUUUGUGAAGUAUACUGAUCUGCAGGCAAGUCGACUGUGAAGAGUCAAUAGUCGGCUCACAGAAAAUUUUCAAUUCACCCCCCCUCCCUUGAAUUUUAUGUAUUACCAUAUAUAAUGAAUGUCUAAUUAUGGAAAAGUUAGAAAAUUCAACUUUUGGAACAAAGUUAGUUUUCUCCUAUAAAUAAAAGGGUUUUUUUUUCAUUGUAAUAAACCCCACCAGAAUUCCUUAAAGAGAAAUACAGAUGCAUCCUCUCUUCUCUCUAUUUUUAUUUUUCUUAUUACUUAAUAUUUCAUAACAUAAUCUUACUUUUUUUCCACGACAAAUAAAAUAUGUAGCAGUUUUAAUAUUAUAGCCAUGUUGUGUUCUAUUGUGGCCAAAGACUUGAUUUGUUUGCUAUAAAAAUUUAAAAUUUGUGGCUAUUUUAUAUUUUAGUCUUGUGAUAAGAAUAGUUAUAUUUAGCUACAAGCUAGAAAAUCUAUAGCUAUAAAAUAAAGUAUAUGCCACAAAUAUUUUUGUACAUGGCUAAUUAUUCAUUCAUUUCUCCAUGAAAAACAUAAGUUGUAGCUACUUUUAAAAUUUGCUAUAAAAAGUAAAAAUAUACAACCCUAUUUAUUACAAUUAUAUAUAGGUUUAGCUAUAACUAUAAAGAUUUAUUUAUAUAAAUUGAAGAAUAUUAUCAUAAACAUUAUCAAAACAAGAAUUUUAUAAUGUAGCUGAAAAUAAAAGUAAAUUCAACAAUUUCAUUACUAUAAAUUAAAGAAUUUUUAUAAGCUUUUCAAUAAGAAGAGUUACGUAAUGUACCUACAAUUUUAUUUUGGGGAUUUCAAAAUAAUUUUAAAAUUACAUAUAAUAACGUUUUAUAAUUUUGAGAAUAGUCGCAAUAUAGAAUUAUUUAAGACACCAUCUUGUUGUACUUCAAAGAUACAUAGUCUUCUCUCAUCUCUCCUUUUGAGGUAUUCAACUGUACCUCAGUUCUAGUUUGUCAUUUUAUCUCUUAGUCCAUCAAUAUGACUAUUAAUAAUGGUAAAGUAUUUCAGCACCACGAAAAUUAAGACAAACUAAUUAUAUAUGCAAGUGUGUGUAUCUAUAGAAUUUCAAGGGCAACAAGUAUAUGUCUUAAGUAAUUCUUUUACUACUAAAAUUUUUAACAAAUUAAAAUAAAGAAAAAUGUAAUGCAAUCAAAGAAGUAAACAAAUGUGUAGACUUUUUUUUAACUUCAUAUAAGACAUGUAGACAUGAAUUUCAUAUUUCAAUAUAACAACAAAAACAUAUUCAGUGUAAUUUCACAAGGAAAGAUGUCAAAUCUCAAUAUCAAUUUUAAAACCCACGAGAACAUGCUAUUACCUUUACAAUAAGAAAAAUAUAUAUAAUCCAACAGGAUACUUAUAUUGUAAGACUUAUUCCAUCUACUUGGAGAAUUACAACUAGUAAAAUCUACCAAAAAAAAAAUAAUCAGCAAUACAACAUAAAAAUUUUAAAAUCAAAUUAAAAAUUGAGAAAAGAAAAGAAGGGGGGAGGGGGAGGGAGGAAAGGGGCCUGGGUGUUUGUUAAGUGGAAAGGGGCAAUAGAUUAUUUAAUUGGGUUUAAGGAAAUUUGGAGGAAAUUUUGGUCCUUUACUUUUUAUUUUUUGGGGGAGAUUUUGGAGUUUUUGACAUAAAUGGGUGUGUGUGGUGACUGAUAUUAGAAGGCCAAAUGACUUUUAAUAUCCUUAACCUAAUAGCAAUACGUAAUAUACUAUGACGUGCAUAUUUUUAUUUUAUUUUUAACAAAUCUAUUAGUACUACGAAUCUAUCGAAUAUAAUAAAGAAAAUUAUCUAUGAACAUAAUAAUAAAUAUAUACUUUAUUUUAAGUUAAUGGAGAACGCUAAUUAUUUAUAUUAAAAAAAAUAUUAUUCUAAAAUAUAUUCUUCCUUUUUCAACUUUAUAAGGCUAUGUUUUAUCUACUCUUCCAUUUUAAUAAAUUCUUAACGUAAUAGUGUGUAAAUUUAUGAUUAAUUCAAAUAAUAUUUUUUAGUUUGAAUUAAAAUACAAAAAUUAUACGAAUUCAAAUUAUUUUUUUCUACUUUUGAAGUAGGAGUAAGGUAUGUUCAUAUUCUACUCUCCUCAAACUUUACUUUGUGACUACAUUGGAUACCUUAUUAUUGUUAUUUUAUAUAAAUUAAAAUGAUUUAUAUGAAUUAAAAUGUCAAGUCUAAACUAGAAAAUUUUUAAAUACAAUAAAUUGUCAAUAUCAGAAAAUAUAUCUACUACAUUUAUAUAGCAAAAUGAAGAAGCAAAAAAAUAUUUGUAAUGAAGAAGGUCGAUUACCAUAAUAUUCAAGUCUAAAAAUUAUUUUAAGAUGAAAAUUUCAAAAAGAAAAUGUCAAUUCAAUUUCUUUUUUAUAGGAAUAACGUGAAUCAAAAGUCAUAGUAAAAUACUCUAAUAUGGUGGAAUCAUUUAUUUUAAUUUAAAUUUGAACAAGAAUAUGAAUUUUAAAUUACUUAUUUUAGUUUGAAUUGAAAAUAUAAAAUUAUAUGAAUUUUCAAAAUAAGUAGUAUGAAUUAAAAUGCCAAGUUUAAAAGAGAAAAAACAAAAAUAAAUAAAAAUUGUCAAUAUUGAAAAAUCUAUCUAAUUUCAUCUAUAUGUAAUAGGAGAUGAAAAAUAAUAUUGUGAUGGCAAGUGUAAUCAUCAAAAAAAUUCAAGUUUGAAAAUCAUUUUAUGAUAGAAUUUUUUUUUUUUUUGAAAAAAUGUCAAUUCAAUUUAUUUUUAUAUCAACAACAUGAAUUCAAAUUUAAACUAACGUGUCUCACUAUAUUAAACCAUGGUUCCAUAACACCCAAAUUAUCUCAAUUUGAAUUUAAAUAAAGAUAUGAAUUUUUAAAUGUACUUUUUUGGUCUGAAUUCAAAAUACAAAAAUUAUAUGAAUUAUAUAGAUCAAAAAGUUAUGUUUAGAAUAAAAUAUUCAAUAAUGAAAUAAAAUAGUCAAUACUAGAAAAUUUAAGAAAAGAAUUAAAAUGUAAUAUCCCUUUAUUUAUUGGUGUGUGUAUUAAUUAUACUGACUAAACAAUUGACUAAUCUAUUUCUAUUCUAGACUAGCUCAUAUUACAUAUUUUAUCGAAUAUGACAUGGUUUAGCAAAACCUCAAAUAAUAAAUAAAAAACUCAUUUGUAUAUUAUUCAUGAUAAAAAUACAGAUAAAGAAGGGAGAUAAAUAAUGUAAAGAUAAUAUAAUGCGAAUUAAUUUUCUAUAAAACAAAACAAAGUAAAUAUGUAUAAAUUUAAUAUAUUUAGAAGAGCCAUAUACCAUUUGCAAUUAUUAUGGCUCCUUAAUAAUGUUUGUGCAUCACAUAAAUUCAAAUAUACAGAUAUAUAUAAUAUAUAUAUAUAUAUAUAUAUAUAUAUAUAUAUAUACAUACAUACAAUUAUUGAAGUUUUUUUAAAUACUUUUUAAAAAGAAAGUUCUUACAUAUAAAAAAAAAAGAAUAUGCACUUAAUUUAAAACUAUAUAGUAUCAAGUAUACAUAACUUUCUUUACAACUUCUAAAACAAGUUUAAUUGUACAUUCCUUUUUAGAAAAAGUACAAUUAACAUUCAUAAAUAAUAUCUUGCAAUAAGAUAAAAUAUCAACUUGAUAUGUAUAAGAAGUUAGGUGAAGAUUGAGCUUAAAAGUAGGAGUAUUACCCUUUUUUGUAUUUUAAUUUUAUUAUAUAUAUAUAUGUUUAGAUUUUUAUAUUUUCUCUCUCUAUAUAUAAUAUCUAUUUAUUUAAAUUAUAUUGAAAAUUUAAAAGUAAGAUCAUAUAAAAUUGAAUCAAGUCAAAUGAUUAACAUCUCUAAUUAUACUAAAUUUUUAUAAGUAUUUUCUCAAUACAUCAUGUGCAAAUCAAACAAUAACUCUUAAAGUAUUUGGUCGGAAUAAAGUUUAAAUGAUACUUGUUGAAUUUUUUUUAAAAUUUGAUCUGAUCAGUUAAUUGAAAUAAACAUAAUCAAAUAAAUUAUAUUUAAGACUUACAAGCUGUAAAAUUAAAUUAAAUCAAACGAUAAUACCUUAAAUCAUGUUAAAGUGAUAAAUAUAUUAUUUGGGUGACCAAGUUCGAGCCAAGUAACAAUUCUGAAAGCAUUUGAUCAAAAUUAAGCUCCAGUAAGACUUGGUGAAAUUAUAUCUACAUUCAACGUAAUUAGUUAAUCAAAAUUAAUUAGAAGUCCCUAUUUAUUGAAAUUAUAUUUAAAAUUCACAAGUAAACUUAUAGUAUUGAAUUGAAUCGAAUGAUUAACAACUCUAAUUACACUAAAUUAAUAUUACUAUAACAAGUUUUAGCUCGUGGUAAAAGUUAAUUACUAGCUACAAAAUUUUAUAAUAAUAUUAAAUUUGUGGCUAGAUCAUUUCGUCAUGGUAAAUAAUUACUCUGCCCAUUUCAAAUAAGUGAUAUUUUAAUAUUUUUAAAAAAAUUCCUAAAUAAGUAGUGUUUUAGAUAAUCAAGAAGACUUUAAUAAUGCUCUUCCAAUUUUAUCAUUCUUUAAUUGAAUAGAAUUUUACAUAACUAAAAAACUAUUAAAGAGUUACAUCCUCUUCAAGGUAUUUAUAAAGAAUAAGUGCUUUCAAUUUUUUAGGAAUGAUUGAUUUCUCCAUAAACUUGGAAUUUCAGGCAUAUUACUCUUUCCUAAUUUCUAACUUGUUAAAAACAUAUAUUUUAAAGUGUUAUUUGUAUGGUAUUGAUGUUGGUUUUGAAACAUGGGUUGAGGGUUUUGAAUAACUGUUGUUUACGUGAUGUUUCAUGUUUGUCCUAGUAUGGGUUACAUUUAAAUGGUGGUUUUAAAAUAAAUUUGAUUCAUGGAUAUAGUAAAUAAAUUAAGGGAUUGUGAUUUCCCCAAACUUGGAAUUUUUAAAGUGGUUAUGACCUCAACCCUAUAUUGUGAAAUUAGUCUUUGAAUAUGAAGAGUAUGUAUAUUGAACUACUCUUGAACUAUUGUAUAAAGUAAAAAGUCAAUAAAGCAUAAUGGUUUUGAAAUCAAACCUUAUAGAGUUGUAUGAUUCCCCAAGCUAAUGUAUAAUUGAACUGGGAGGAGGGGGCUAUGAAUUCCUUAAUUUAUGAAAUUAUUUCGGCAUGUUGAUAUUACCUUGCAAGUGUAGUUGGUAUGAUGGUACCAACAAUGUAUGCCAAAAUGUGUAUCAUGAUUCAAUGAAUGAGAAUGUUGAUAAUUGUUUUAAUUAGGCUUUAGUGAGGGGUAUGUAGCUGAGUCGUGAAAGUAGAGGUCUCAAGGGACCAAUGCUAGAAACCAUGAUUGUCGACACAGGGGUUUAUAUGACCGGGUGGUUCGAGUACCUCUUAUUAUUAUCAUAUGAUUGGGAGGUUUGAGUCCUCUAUAUUAGAUUACAUGAUUUGGUGCUCAAGUUACCUUAAAUGCUGGGAGGUUCUAGUCCCCUAUAGUGCAUAUGUAUACCCUCUGGUUCGUGCGGCCAUACGCACUGAGUCCCUACCAGUUGGGGAAGAGAUGGACCCAUAUAGCUCGUGGGUGCCUUCUUAUUUUAUGACGAUUGAGCUACACAAUCAAAGCCAAAGUUUUAAACUGCAUGCUAAACUUUUUUCCCUAACCCAACACGUGAAGUAAAGUAGAUACAUGUAUUUGCAUAUGAUUAUGUGAAUAGGAUUUUGGAUUGGUGUAACACCCCGUACUUUUGGGCUAGAGUCUAGACCGUCGUUCCUAUGCGUAUAGAUCCGAACUAGAUAAUAUUUUAUUAAUAUAUGUGUGGUUAUCAAUCCUAUAGUGUGGGAAUAUCUUUGAAUAAGAAUUGAAGUUACAAAAAUCCCCUAACUCUAAGACGAGUUGAAAACAUUUCUAGCCAUUAAGUUUCAAUGGAUGUUUAAACUUGGGUCAACUUCUAUCGACCAUAACUCCUUGUAUAUAUCGAAUUAGAGGGCCUACUAUUUAUAAAAUGAAAGGUCUUUGAAGUAGCUUUCCAACGAUACCAAUUUUACCAAAAUUCAAUACCCGAGCAAUAUGUUACAACCAUUUUCGUGAGAGAGGCAGUAGAUGUGCGUGAUUAGAGUGCGACGCAUGCUCCGUCGUAUACACCUAAUUUUCAGGUUCUGUUUUUGCAUUUUUAAGGGCAAUUUAGACCUUUACCUCACCCAAGGUCUGUCUAUGACAUAAGAUUCACGCCCCAAAAGCAUAAUACACGAUAUAAUUCAGUUUUUCUCUCAAAAUAAAACCUUAACUCCUUCCCCAAAGAUCAAAAAACUCAUCCCUAAGAUCAAGAAUUCUAAGAAAAAGAUUAAGACCUAGGUUCCAUUUUUCUAACUACAAAAUCUAAAGUACGCCAGGUUUAUCCUAAACUACAUGGGCUUGUUAAAAACUUUCUAAUAUGAUUUAAAGGCUAUCAAGCAUGAAUUUAGAAAGGGGUUUUGGAACCCAUGAUUUUAAUUAUGCUUUCUGAAUGUUUUAGAGAUAUUAUUGUUUUGGCCUUUCGGUCUUUCCUCCCCCACCCCCUUAAAUUGAUUUACAUGUAUAUAUAUAUGUAUGAAAAAUUGAGAUUGAAGAUUGUUUGAGAGCACAAAUUAUGAAAUCCCCCUAUUGUGUUGAAUUAAAAUUUAUGAUCUUGUCGGAAAAGAGUUGAAAAACAUGUUUUAUGAUUCGAAAGUAGUUUUUCUCAAUGUCAUAGUAUUUGAACAUGAUUUAGAGAUGAUGAGUGAGUGUUUUCUUGAUAUAAUUACAUUUUGUGUUAAAGAGAAAGAAUUGUUUAUGAAUGAGAACUUUAACAUAACCACCUUGUAUUAUUGACAAGUUGAUCAAGAAAGUUGCUUGCAUGGUUUUACCUGAUUUAUAAGAGAGGAUUCUUUGAUUUAAUUUAUUAAUAUAGUGGUCCCAAACCUUAUGUUUUAAAAAAAAAGAUUUUAAUAUGUUAUUAAUGGCUUAAAGAUGCGACUUGCAAAUCAAUAGUAUGAUGAUACAAUAUAGAUGUAUGCCAUAACAGAGUUAAGUUUUUAGAGUUUGAUUUCAGAGAAUAUGUGUUUUAAAGAGUUAAAAAUGGGCCUAAAGAGGGCUAGGUGGUUACUCGAAGAAGGCAUGAGUCAAUCAACUCAUUGCCUAAAACCAUAUUUUGUCGACACGGGUAUAUUAUUAUUGUACACUGGCGACGGCCCUGUGGCUUAGUAGAGACAGAGAGUCUGACCCUUGCAGCAAACUUGGGUUGGGGGCUUGGCUACUGAGUUAACGGUAAAUUCUAUAUAGCCCAUGGAAUUUCAGAGUUAUAGGGUACCACCUAGCGCAAAAGUAAAACAAAGAGCACGUCACAGAGUUCAGAUGAUUUUAUAGAGUCUUAAAUAUGCCCAUGUGAUUCUUAACAUAUGGUAUAUUUAUGAACUAUUUUAAAUUUCUCUCAUAUAUGUUGAAUAAAAAUUAUUAUUUUGGAUUUGCUAUGUGUACCAGUACAACUGUAUUGACCCCCUGAGGCUUAAUCUACAGGUCCGGCUAAGUUGUAGAGAUUUCAGAGAGAACAGACUGUGAAGUGGUGAGCCUUCUUUACUCCAGAAGGCCUGUUUAUUCUAGACUAUGUUAUUUAUUUUAUUUUGGGUCUACUGGGGGCCUUGUCCUAGAUUUAGACAUUUGAAAUUUUAGCAUGUAAUAGAGAUUUCGCAGACUGGUUUAGAUAUUGUCUAGAGUUGUUGGAUUUUAAAUUUCUUAUUAUUAAAUUAAGUUUAGAGUAUGACCAUGAUUAUGUAUUAAGUUAUAUUCCCACAUCUUCCUUUAUUAUAUGAAUAUUGUGCAUGACUGUUGAUAGAGAAGGACGUUCGGGCCUUCAUGGUUCGGAAUGCUCUUUAUGGCUAGGGCCUUAGGUCGGGUCGUGACAAACUUAGUAUCAGAGCACGUUUCAUAGUCCUAGGGUGUCUGCGAAAUUGCAUCGGGUAGAUUUUUAUUUAUGAGUGUGUAGCGCGCCAUACUUAUAAGUAAGAGGGUACAAGGCAUUUAAGAAUGUCUCUCUUUCUUUAUGUUUUAAUUCGUGCUAUGGAGUCAGAAUAUUCCUCUUUCAUACUCUAGUUCGUGCUAUGGUAUCACCCAUACAAAAGUAAAGUUAUCCCAAUUCUUUCCUUACUCUGAUGUUCUCAGAUAUGUCUCAUUAUUGAGGUGAUUUAAGUGCAGAAGUCUAAAAUCAAAAUGGUAUUGUCCUUUUUGAUUGGGUCAUAAAAGAUUAUAACAUUGUACAAAGACUUGAGAAGAGACUGUUAGUUCUCUAAUAUGUAUUGAUUCUGAUGUAAACUUUGAUCCUAAUGAAAGCAUGCUUUUCAGCCUGAGGUAUUAAGCGCAUCUAGUCCCUUUUAAAAUUCUUGUUAUAGCUGUCAUGCAUAAGGGUAAUGAUGUGUAGUAGAUUGUUGGAACUAUAUUUCCACCCGAGUAGUAGUGCAUGUUAAAGUGUUAGGACCUAUUGGUAGUGUGAUGAUCUAGAAGUUGGUGAUAUAAAGUGACAAGGUUAGCAGUUAGAGUGAGGGUGAUUUUUAUUGUUUAGUUGUAUGAUCAUAGAUUGAGGAGUGGGUUACCAUUGUAUAGUGAUAGACUAAUAUGGUAUAAUGAUAGACUAAUGUGUAACAGUAUUUGUAGAUUGUACGGUUGUAUGUGAAGUAAGUGACUGGCUAUGAUUUUUUUAUUCAAAAUAGGGAAAGCCCCCAGAGUGGAUAGUUAUGGUGGUCACAGAAAUUCCUUAUAGGCUGUGAAUGAAAACGAUUAGAUUAGCCAACAAUUUAUAAGUAUAGACUCAUUGUUGUAUGUGAAAUUUGAAGGUAGUUUAAAGGUAUGCUUGGGUAAGUAAGUAUGAUGUGAGAAAGUAGAAUGCGUUGAUAAGAUCGUAUUAGGUUAUAAUAUAAGAUUAAGGUUGACCCUGUCUAUUAUGUGUCUUUACCCCCUUGAUCUCCUUUUCUUUAGUGGUUGUAAGCUAGUACUUCUUAUGAGAAGGUAUGUAGUGAAUUUUAAUGUUGUAAUAGUGAUAUCAUGGAGGGGUUGUGAUUGUAGGUAGUAGUUAAAGGAAAUGAGUAUUUUGAGUUUAUUUACCAAUUUGAUGGGCUGGUAUAAUAUGUUGCAUGCUUCACUGGUGGUACGUGAUUGUUGCUAGAUUAUAGGCCUGAACUUUAGAUGUAAAAUAUGGUGGUAAGAAUAGUAACUUAAGAUUAAUGAUGUAUAUUUAUGGGAAUGAAUUAGUAGGCUUGUUGUGAUUUGUGAAAGAGACUAGAUUGAUAAUUGAUGAAAAGUUUAACUGGUAAUUGUGAAGGUAUAUGUGUAUAUGAGGACUAGUGUUAAAAUGAUGAAUUGUGGGUGAGUCAUUAAGUGGAUAAGGGAGUAAGUAUAUUAGAAUGAGUUGCACCCCCUAGUAGUAUGACGUUAGGUAAGAUUUUAUGCUAUGAGUUAUGUGAUUAAUGGUCUAUUGUUGAAGGUUAAGUAGUGGAGAGUGGAUUUUUAUGUGAUAAGGAGUAGGGAUGUGUAUGUAUGCUCAUGAGACUGUGAGUUUUUGGUUGAUGAUAAUUGAGGAUAGCAAAACGUAAGAGUAGCAUUGUGGGAAAACAAUGCUUUUAGAGUAUACGUUAAGUAGUCAUAACACCCCAUAGUUUUCUCGACUUGAUGUAACUUAGUAGCAUGCUUAGAGGGAUGACAACUUGAAUCAUCCUUUUUUUCUAAGUGUUAAAGAAAAGGACUUAGUCACAUUUUGAGCUCCCAAUCUUUGAUGAUUUUAUUUUUGACCUUUCCGGCCUAAGUCGAUUUGUGAGUUGAUUUAUGAUUAGGGAAGUCAAUAGUACAUCCCAUGUGAGUUUUGGAAUUUUUGGACAAGUGUAAGGGCAUGUUUGGAGGUCCAAAAUAGUAGCUGCAUGCAAUUUGUACACCACGUACACUUCAGUCUACACCUAAGUAGCAUGUGAUGGAGCAUGCGUCAACGCCCCAUUCCGAGGUUCUACAGCGUGCAAUGCACGCUCUCCUUCAGGCUUCAGUUUUCAAUUACAUUUUUCCAGGGGAAUUUGGGGUCAAUUCCGCCCAUAUUAAUUUGUCCUAAACAUCGAAUUUGAGUAGCAAAGCAACACUUUAGCCCCAAAUUCACAUUCUCCCUAAAUUGAAAUCAUCUUCCCUUGCCAAGAAUAGAAAUCCUAACUCUUAAGUGUUUAGAAGUAUGGAUGUCCAUGCCUAUAAUGAUGUUAGUCAUAAGGGGAUGAUUUUGGGGUUAGAGGAAGUUAUGAUUAGUAUCCCUGAAGGGGGAUGUCCCAGAAGAAAUCUAGUGUCUUUUGUUAAAUUAUUGAGAGAAGUUUGUGUUCAUGUGUAUACCAAUAUUCCCUAUUGUAUUGAGAAUUGUGGUUACAGAUUGAUGAGAUGUUAUGUUCUCCAGUCUAGGAUUGUGACUUUGAUCUAAGGGGGAGAUGGUGAGUUAAGGUAGUUUCCAAAUUUUUUUUUUCUCAUUGUGGAAAAUUAGGGAGUUAUGAUAAACCCCUAUUCAAGUAUGUUCCUCCUACUUCAGUUUAAGAAUUCAUUCUACCAAUGUUUUAUGUAUUUGAGUCCUACCUAUGCCUAUGGUUUAAGCUCUCUAUGUAACUCAUGUAAUGUUUCGACCUCCAAACUAGAAGAAAUAAUAUCCCUCAGUGAUCCAACAUUCAAUCUAUUCAAACUCUAUGUUAUGUUGUUCGUGAUCCAUGAAAAUCUAUGUCUCUCAGCAUGUUCUCCUAAGAAAAUAUGUUUCUAUAUGUUGCAGAAUCAUUUUAUGCCAGAAUUAGCCAAAGUGUUAAAGUUUAUGCCAACUCAUGGAAAAAUUUUAGCUCUUUGAAUGAAGAGCAAUUACUUUAAGUGAAAUCCUUACCUUAGUUGCUAACGACAUAAAUUUUGGCUUUAUGCCAUAUAGCUCAUGAUAUGUUCAUCCAUGUUUCUUAUUUUGGUUUGUCUUAAGGAAACCAUAUGUGUUGUGUUCGUGCUGAACGACCUUUUACUUAUGAUCCAGACACUUGAUAUCGAAAGCACUUUCAUGUCUAUCCUCGAAUAGUGCAAUAAGUAUGAGUGAUGGUCGUAUAAUGUUACUUCUAUUCAUGAUAUUUAUGCUUGGGUCCCUUAAUGACCCUCCAUAUGUUAAUAUAAUGGUGGUUGUAGAGAUGUAGCAGUGUGUUAGGUAUGGGAGCAGAUAUUCUUGAAGGUGAGAAAUUUGACGUAAUUCUCGAGCUGAGGUUUUAGGUGAAAAGAAAAGAAGGAGAUGAACUUUUGUUGUGUGAAAUAGCUACGAAGGAGAUAUAUGGCGAAAAUAGUUUUGAGAGUGAUUGGAAUUGCUGGUCUUAGUAGGGAGAUCCAUGUAAUGAGGUCUAGUAAUGAUUAGGCUUGAGUGUUUUGAUUGGUGAAAACACAAACCUAUGUGCCAUAUGGUUAGUAUUCUUUGAAUUAAGACUUGAGAUUGUUAGAUUAUAGUGAUGAGGUGAGGUGAUUUCUUAAUGUGAUGCAGAGUGCAGGGUCUCGUAGUCUAAAUUAUCUCCUCUUUCCUUUGAGUUAGGCUCGAACAUAGAAGUAUUAUACAGAGGGACACAAAUUCUUGUAGUUAGAUGUGUUAUGGGAGAAUUAUAAGUUGGAAAUGAUGAAGUAUGUUGAUUAAUGUUGGGGUAUAGAUAAGUAGUGUUGCUAAGUUUAAGUUUUUUUGUUGUAUCUUGUAAGAUAAAGAAUGCUAACAUUCAUAUGUUCCAUGAGAAGCUUAUCUCAUAUCAUGUACCAAUCUUAAUCAGGCCGAGGACUCUUAGAAAAAGUUAUGUUUUACAAUGUUUUUAUCAUGUGCUAUAACACAUGCCAAGAUCAUGUAGAUGUUAAGUUUCGUUAUCUCAGGUUUCGUGCUUACCCAUUUCCCUGGGGGUUAUCAUAAAGAUCGUGUGAUGCCUUUGCAUAUUUUUGUUGAGAAAAAAUGUUCAUAUCAAUAUUACAUUAUUUAUUCUACACUUUUAUAGCUUCAAAGAGUACCUACCCAUCAUUCGGGGAUGAAUGAUCCCAAGGGGGAGAUAAUGUAACACCCUGCACUUUCGGGCUAGAAUCUAGACCGUCGUUCCUACGUGUAUAGACCUGAACUAGGUAAUUUAUUGUUAAUAUAUCUGUGGUUAUCAAUCCUAUAGUGUGGGAAUACCUUUGAAUAUGAAUUGAAGUCACAAAAAUCCCCUAACUCUAAGACGAGUUGAAAACAUUUCUAGCGAUUAAGUUUCAGUAGACGUUUAAACUUGGGUCAACUUCCAUUGACCAUAACUCCUUGUAUAUAUUGAAAUAGAGGGCCUACUAUAUAUAAAAUGAAAGGUCUUCGAAGUAUCUUUCCAAUGAUACCAAUUUCACCAAAAUUCAAUACUCGAGCAAAACGUUACAUUCAUUUUCGUAAGAGAGGCAGUAGCUGUGCGUGAUUAGCGUGCGACACACGCUCCAUUGCACACACCUAAUUUUCAGUUCUAUUUUCGUGUUUUAAGGGAAAUUUGGACCUUUACAUCACCCAAGGUCCAUCCAUAACAUAAGAUUCACACCCCAAAAGCAUAAUACAUGAUAUAAUUCAGUUUCCUCUCAAAACAAAACCCUAACUCCUUCCCCAAAGAUCAAGAAACUCAUCCCUAAGAUCAAAAAUUCCAAGAAAAUGAUCAAUACCUAGGUUCCAUUCUUCUAACUACAAAAUCUAAGGUACGUGAGGUUUAUCCUAAACUACAUGGGCUUGUUGAAAACUUUCUAAUAUGAUUUAAAGGUUAUCAAGAAUGAAUUUAGAAAGGAGUUUUGGAACCCAUGAUUUUAAUUAUGCUUUCUGAAUGUUUUAGUGAUAUUGUUGUUUUGGCCUUUCGGCCUUAACCCCCCCCCCCCAAAUUGAUUUACAUGUAUAUAUAUGUUUGAAAAAUUAAGAUUGAAGAUUGUUUGAGAGCACAACUUACGAAAUCCCUCUCUUGUGUUGAAUUAAAGUUUAUGAUUUUGUUGGAAAAGAGUUGAUAUACAUGUUUUAUGAUUCGAAAGUAGUUUUUAUCAAUGCCAUAGUAUUUAAAAAUAUUUUAGAGAUGAUGAAAGAGUAUUUUCUUGAUAUAAUUACGUUUUGUGUUAAAGAGAAAGAAUUGCUUGUGAACGAGAACUUUGACAUGACCACCUUGUAUUAUUGAAAAGUUGAUCAAGAAAGUUGCUUGCAUGGUUUUACCUGAUUUAUAAGAGAGGAUUCUUUGAUUUGAUUUAUUGAUAUGGUGGUCCCAAAACUUAUGUAUUGAAAAUAGAGAUUUUGCGACUUGCAAGUCAAUUGGUAUGACGAUACCAUAUAGAUGUAUGCCAUAACAGAGUUAGAGUUUUUAGAGUUUGAUUUCAGAGAAUACAUGUUUUAAAGAGUUUAAAAUGGGCCUAAAAAGGGUUAGGUGGUUACCCGAAGAAGCCACAAGUCAAUCGACUUAUUGCCUAAAAUCGUAUUUUGCCGACACAGGUAUAUUAUUAUUGUACGCCGGCGACAACCCUGUGAUGUAGUAGAGACAGAGACUCCGACCCUUGGGGCAAACUUGGGUUGGGGGCUUAGCUUCUGAGUUAAUAGAAGAUUCUAUAUAGCUCGUGGAAUUUCAGAGUUGAAGGGUAUACCACCUAGCUCAGAAGUAAAGCAAAGAGGAUGUCACAGUCUUUUAAACAUGCUCAUGUGAUUCUUAACAUAUGAUAUAUUUAUGAACUAUUUUAAAUUGCUCUCAUAUAUGUUGAAUAAAAAUUAUUAUUUUGAAUUUACUUUGCGUACCAGUACAACUGUAUUGACCCCCUAUCUCUUAGGGUCUGAAGCUCAAUCUAGAGGUCCGACUAAGCAGUAGAGAUUUUAGAGAGAAGAGACUGUGCAGUGGUGAGUCUUCUUUAUUUCAGAAGGCCUGUUUAUUCCAGACUAUGUGUAACAUCACGUAUUUUGCUUGUACUUGUUCUAAUUAUAUGGAACUUGUAGCCUUUUGAUAUAUAUAACGUAUGAGAAUUGUUAUGCAAGUAUUAAUGGUAUAGAUGGAAUUAUAGAUGCUGCCCAUACAGUUUAAUGUGAUGUGACUAAGUUAACAUUAAGAUAACUAUUUAAACUUGGAAUCGUAACCUAGUAUUUGAAUCUAAAGUUUAAAGUGACCAAGUAUGUAUAAGUUGAAGGUUAGAUUAAAGGGAUUAGGAGCUAAAAAUGGAGCAAAAUAUUGAGAUGCUUGCUUGACUUAUUUAAGCUAGUACGUGAGUCACCUACUUAAGUUAUUUGGACCAAAUUAAUGGACCCAUGCCUAUGGAUCAGAUUUGGGUCUAUGCUAAUAUACUCAUUUGGGUCAAAUUGAACAAAAGAGAAAGAAAAUGGAUAAGUGGCCCAACACACCAAUCUGCCAAGGCCCAAAUAUAAUUGAGCCCAACAAGAAAUUAAGCAAGUAGGUGCAUCACCUACUUUGAAGUUUCAGCAGCUUGGACCCUUAAGUAGGUGCAUCACCUACUUGGACCAAUUUGACCAAUUUUAUGGUGCAAAAUGCAGCUAAGGAGGUGGACAAGAUAGGGCCUUUAAAAGGCCAAGUUGCUAGUAAUUUUACUUCACUUUUAAGUCACAAAAAAGGAGUAUAUUUCAGCAAAUCUCUCUACUCUCUCUAAAACAAAAAGAACAGCAAUCUUAUUUUUCCUUCUAGGGUUCUGGAAGAAACCCUCACCUUUGAAGCCCAAGGUAAGUGAAAAACACUUAAGGUUUUGUUUAAUUAUCUCAUGGAAGAUUAGAAAAAUAAGUUAUAAGUGUUUGACUAUAAGUAUAUGGCUGAUUAUAGAACAAGCUGUUUGUUCACGUUUCCUUGUUAUUGAGGAACUUUUUUUCUUCUUCUUUGGUUUAAGUGUGAAGGAAAGUUCAAGGUCCUGAAGAGUUUAAUUAAAAGAAUAAGUUGCUGAAUUGAGGUAAGGUCACUGCUCCAUUUUGUUUUUCUUAUAUAUGAAUUUGAGAAGGGAUUAUGGAUGUCUUGUUAUUGAGAACUCAAGAGAUGAUGAGUUCAAUAAUUGAUUGCUACAAUAAAAGGGAUUUGGGACUGUUUUGUGGAUUAUUUUGUAUGUAUAUGUUAUGGGCUGCCAGGUUGAAGUUGGAUAAAGGUGUGAUGAGUUUGUAAUGAAUUAUAGAANNNNNNNNNNNNNNNNNNNNNNNNNNNNNNNNNNNNNNNNNNNNNNNNNNNNNNNNNNNNNNNNNNNNNNNNNNNNNNNNNNNNNNNNNNNNNNNNNNNNNNNNNNNNNNNNNNNNNNNNNNNNNNNNNNNNNNNNNNNNNNNNNNNNNNNNNNNNNNNNNNNNNNNNNNNNNNNNNNNNNNNNNNNNNNNNNNNNNNNNNNNNNNNNNNNNNNNNNNNNNNNNNNNNNNNNNNNNNNNNNNNNNNNNNNNNNNNNNNNNNNNNNNNNNNNNNNNNNNNNNNNNNNNNNNNNNNNNNNNNNNNNNNNCGGGUUAGUUUCGGAGUCAAAUAACCAGGUAUGUAAGGCAUACUCUAUUUUACACGCUUUGGCAUGAAAUCGUACAAUUGUUCCAUCAAGCAAGUUUCCGAGGUUAUCCUAUAACAAGUGCUACAUAAUGGCAGUAUAUUACACUCCAUGUAUCCAAUGACCUUGUUCCCACUGUCUAACGCAUUAGAACACCUCAAUGCAUGCUUAUUAUUAAAUUUGUGCGUCUAUCUUCACUGCAAAAUUUUAGGAGUUCUCUGUUUGUUCAAAUAAGACCCAUGUGUUAUUUCAGCUCCUAAACACUUUAUUUGUGUGCCAACAGCUCUCUACCUCAUUGUUGUUGCAUUAAGUGUCUAUUUACAUGUCUCUGAUUAGCGUAUUACUGGUUUAAGGUACCAUAAUGUGAUGACCACCAAAGUAACAAUCUCAAAGGCUAAAUAAACUAAAUAUUGCAAAUCUGUAAAAUGAUAAGUGGCAGCUCAGGAGAAUUUUCCUAGGAUGGGCCGAUCUCGAUACCUUUAUUCGUAGGUGGCAGCUCAGGGGCAUAGCAUGGGCCGAUCCCAAUCUUUAUAUGUAGGUGGCAGCUCAGGGGCGUAAGCCUAGCAUGGGCCGAUCCUAAUUUAUCUAUUUACCACUGAUCAACUGGUCAUUUGCAUUAUAUGGCUUAAAAAGAUUAUGAAGUAAGAAGGUAAAAUGAAGAAAAUAAUGUAACGUACAUUGUCCCACAAGUAUUUAUAAAGGUGGUCUACUAGUACUACUUAUACACUUGUAUCAGAUUUCUAUUGAGCUUUUGUAUCAAGUGUGUUUUUACCUUUGGCCUUACAUAUUCAAUACAUAUUUUCGUACUGACGUCCCUUACGAGGGACCUGCAUUUCAUGCUGCAGGCACAGGUACUUUAGCUUGCUCAUACAACUCACUAGUAGGAGCGUAGGCUUUUCAGGGGCUAUUGAUGAGCUCCAGGUUGAUUUGGGGCUUUCCGAGUCUGUUCCAUAUAUUUUGGUAUUGUACAGUAAGUCAAGAGUAGGGCGGGGGUUUGUCCUGACCCUAACUAAGUCUAUGUAUCUUUUAGAGGCUUUGUAGACUAAUGUAAAGUUAUGGUAGUGUUUGGUCUUUAGAUGUGGUGGCCCCAACGGUCAAGUAUUGUAUAAAUCAGUUUGUGUUUGCAUAUGUAAUUAUUCUCAUCGAUAGAUAAUAUCAUUUUUGUUAGAACCUUUAGUUGUUAUAGUUAUAUGCAUGGGAAAUACAAGUUUCUGAAUUGGUCUCUCGGGCCUUUACGGCUACGAGUUCCUAUCCGCCCUAAUAGGAUUUGAGGUAUGACACUAUUUUAUUUAUUUUAUUUUGGGUCUACUGGGGUUCUUGUCCCAGAUUCAGACAGUUGCCAUUUUAGCAUGUAAUAGAGAUUUUGCAGACUGGUUUAGAUAUUGUCUAAAGUUGUUGGAUUUUAAAUUUCUUAUCAUUAAAUUGAGUUUAGAGUAUGACCAUAAUUUUGUAUUAAGUUAUAUUUCUGUAUCUUCCUCUAUUGUAUGAAUAAUGUGUAUGACUAUCAGAUAGAGAAGGGUGUUCAGGACUUCAUGGUUCAGAAUGCUCAUCACGGCCAGGGCCUCAGUUUGGGUCAUGAAAAUUAGUUUUGAAUUAAUGUUCAUGGCAUUAUUUUAUCCCCUAUCCCGGAGUUACAUGCUAGUGCUCCAACCACAAACCAUCUUCGUAUGCUAUAUUCCCAAGCAAUGCAGGUAUGAGAGUGAUGUAAGCUCAACUAACUGCACUCCUUUGGAUCGGUGCUUUAAGGAUCACAUCUACGAAUCCAAGACUUGGUCAUUUUAGGGGAACAAAUACGUGUAUGUAUGAUAUCUUAGAGCGCAGGAGAAGCCAUACUUGAUGAUGUCAUCCAAGAGAGCAUGGAAGAGAGCAUGGGCGCCCAUUGAGCAACACCGCAUUUGGAUGAUAGCUUGGGCUUUGAGAGAGUAUGGGCACCUAUUUGCAUUGUUUUGGCUCUUGGGUCACUUUUGGGCCCAAGUUGCAUUUAGUGUCACUUUUGGUCCCAAGUUGUAAUAAAGGUCUUUUGACCUAAAAAUAGCUAGGACUCUCUUUCUUCUGGGACUUUGAUGAUUAAUGAUGAUUUAAGUUGAUGAAUGAUAUGUUGAUAUAUACUUACGAAUGUGUUUUUAUUGAAAAUUAUUGGGAGUUACUUUGGUUGUUUAUAAAGGUGGGUGCUUGGGAAUCGAUUUCCACUGUGUUCUCAUAAGAGGUUGGUGUUAUCGAUAAUUUAUAGAAAGGUCUAGGGUUUAGUAUACCCUUGGUUGUCCUCUCAUUAUUGAUUUAUGUCAAUCUAUCUAUCUUUUAAUUUAUUGUUCCAUUUCCUUGUUUCCUUGUUUUUGUAAUUUUAUAUUUAGUGGGUUUUCUUUGUUUUUGUGUCGUUUCCAUUUUCAUAUUUUUGUCUCGUAUCAUGGAGAUACCUCUACUUUUCCUGCACAGAUUUAGGAAGAAUAGCUUGGUUCAUCGGUUCGUUUUGGUAAAGUGGUGAGCUUCAUUCUCCGGAAGACUUAGACAUUUCAUCCGUUAUUAUCACAGAUUAGAAUAAAGAUUUUUCAUUAUCAUUAACAUUAUCAUUUUUAUUGUCAUUUAUUAGAUUUGGGGACAUAUCCCUACUAAGAUUGGUUUUUGAUUCUUUUGUUAGUAGGCAGUUAAAACCUUGAGGUUUGCACCACACAGUGAGGGACCUAGUCCUUCAAAGUUAGUUGGAGGCAAUAAAUCAGUAAAGCACUAAAAAAGGUAAAACUUUGCUAAAAGUAAAGGAACACACUGAUUUAACAUGGAAACCCCCUUACCUAAGGAAGGAAAGACCACGACUUGCCCUCACAUACUCUCAUAAAUCCACUAUAAUCAACCUCUUGGUUACAGACUUGAUUUUGAACCUAACUCUAGGUUCAUCCUGCUUGUACUAACUCUACCACAAGCCUAACUUGACAACUCUGCCAAAACUCUCUCAACGCUAAUUAACUUUAACCAUUAUCAAGCUUAGGUAACUCUACCUGAGAACUCUCAAAGUAAAAAGGAAUUACUCUUAUAGAAUAAGUAAUUCAAUUACAAACCACAAUUAAACUCAAGAACGUUUUCACUGUCAGUACAAAAGGACUAAGAACUAAGAUUGAGUUUUUGCCUUUUUCUCUCUUCACUCUUUAGAAUUUGCAAAAACUACCAAUUGAGAAACAUUCUUUGCUUUUUAUAGUUGAAACAUCCUGGGUUUUGACCCUUAGAAAAUUUCCUAGAAUUCCAUUCUCCAAACCUAACACGACUCAUAGGUACGAGCUGUAUGUUGGGGGUACGAGUGGUAUGGUCCUAUAGUAUGUUGACCUAGUUGGUGGGAUAUUUUUGGUCACUAAAAUGGGUACGACUUAGGGGUAUGAGUAGUAGGGAUUGGUAUGAGUCGUAUCAAGGACUUAUAUGGUGGUCAGUGUUUGAUCUUCCUGAUAUUUCAUUUUUCCAGGGAUAUAGGUCUUGAUACAUAUUGUAUGUGGUUGUUAUGACUUUGUUGAGUGAGUUGUAUACUAGACAAUAUUUGAUCCAAGGUUUGAGGCUUGGAUACGAGUGAUGGGUACCAAUCGUAUAAGAGGAUACGACUCAUAUGGGUCAGUCAUAUCCCUGUGAUGAGGGUUUUAAGGGAUUUAAGUGGGGACAUUCUAGAUAUUUGCUUACUUAUCCUAACUAGGACCCAUGAAUUCUAAUGCACUUAGGAGGUUAUUUACCCUAUUAUUCUAUUCAUUAACACUUAGAAACUAUUCCAAAAUAUCUCAUAAUUCUCUCAAGAGCUUUUGGGGCAAGAAGGCUAGGGUUUUAUCUUAAGGAUUGCUUUGGGGCUUGUCUUGGUGAAUUCUUUCCAUUAAUUCUUUGGUAUAAGGCAUUAUUCUCUUUCCUUAUUGUAAUUUCAACUAAAGGCAUGGUUUAUAUGAUUGAUUUCAUUGUUUUACUAUUUCAUAAUUAUGGUUUCCAACUAUUAUUUGGGGGUUUUGAUGUUAAAUUCUUGGUUAUGGUUUCUUAUGUUUUAAUUAUGCUUUUAUAUGCAUUAAUGGUGGUUUUGGACAAUUAGAUUUCAUGGUAAUGGUUUAAUGGUUUUUAGAUUUUGUUUUAGCUAUAUUAUGUGCCCAAGGUUUUUGAUAAAAUGAUUAUAAAGAUAUGUUUAUUACAUUGAAUUCUUUUAAUGGAAGUCUUGCAUGUUUUAAACUUGGUAAAGGAACUAUACAUGGUUUAAAUGGUUUGAAAAUGCUAAAGACUAAAUGAUUAUGCUUGUGGAGAACAUUAAAGUCUCCCAAGUGGUUUAAUAUGGUAUAUGGAAAAGGCACUUGAAAGUCCCCUUAAUCUAAAUUGUUUAAAUAUGGAUAUUAAUUACAAGUAAUGGGGUGGUAUAAUGUACUACUACUAUUGGCCUUGGUUAAUAAAAUGGUAAAUAGGUUGGUUGGUUAUUUGGAAAUGGUUUUAAUUGGGCAUUAAUGGCGGGGUGUGUAGCAAAGCCGUGGAAGUUGGUGGUCCUGGGAGAACCAAAACUGGAAACUCAUAUUUACCGAUAUGAGGAUUGGUCUUAGUGGACCGUGUGUAUGAUGUCACACUAUUAGGGGAUGUACUAGCCAUCCCAUGGGAUAAUUCCCUGGUUGUGUGGCUACACGCACUGGGGCCCUUUCAACAGGAGGAGCUAAACCCAUAUAGCCCAUGGGUGGUUUAGGACGGCCAAGCUACAUAACCCAGGUAAGGGUUUUUUAUACAUCCUAAACCCGAUUCCCUUUCUCGGUACUUAUAUAUAUGUAUGGUUUUAUGCAUUAUGGAUGAUUUUACUUGGUUUUAUAACUGAAAUUAUUUUAUCCUUAUCCUAAGAUUCAUGGUAGUAGUCACUCGCUAACCCCAUCUACUAGCGACUGUAUACCCAUGCUAUGUAGGAACUAACUACUCUAUUCCUUCUAUUUAGCAUACGGAUUUGGUAUCAACAUUUGGACUGAAGUAGUGAGCUUCCAUCCUUCUGAAAGGCAUCAUUUCAUGUUAUGGAUUUCUUUAGACACUUUUAUUUUACUUUAGAUUUUGGUUUUGGCCAUGGUUGGGGGCAUGUCCCAACCAGAUUUGUUUACUCUUUUGGACAGAGGCUUUGUGGUACUUUUGGGGGUUUGUAUGGUCCGGAUCAAUAUUGGUGUUUGCCUUGGCAUCUGUUUUGGUGUUGGGGCUUACACCCUUAGACAAUAUUGUUAGUUGUUCCAUCCUAUUAAAUGUUGGGAUUAAUCAUAUUAUGUUUUGGUAUUCUCUUUGGUUAUGGCCUAUGGUUUGGUUUGUUAUGGUUGGGGUACGGUUGGACUCGGUUAGGUCAGUCAUGGUUGUGACCCUAUCCAGAGUCUUAAUAAGAACAUUUAUGCUAUCUGUUAUAUGUUUGAAAUUCAACCCAUCUAAGGCUGGAUAUACGUAGCUGGGUUGGGUAAUAGCAGCAGUCCCGGGUCCUAGUUGGACUUGGGAUGCCCAUUAUGACAAGGCCUAGGGUCAAGUCAUGUCAAGUUAGUGUUAGAGCCUAGGUUCAUGGUCACUUGGGAGUCCACAAAGUUGUGUCGAGUAGAGUCUCUUUUAGGGGUGUGAAGCGUGCCGCAUUUAUAAGAGAGAGGCUAUAAGACAUUUUGGAAUGUUUACCUUUUUGGUAUUCUAUAUUCAAGAUUGAGUUCUCAAUCCUGGAAUCCUAUCUAAUCCUUGUUUGUUCAUCUUUCAGAUCAUGCAUCCUAGAUCUGGAACAUAAGGAAAUGUUUUUGUCCCAUCUGGGGAUAAUGUUGAAGGGGUACGUCCUACGUCUGGAGUACAUCUUCGAUCUCAUGGUCCUAUUCCUGAUGGUGCUAGAGUUUCUCUUAUUUUGGCUAGUUUUCCUCAGGUCCCUUCGAACGCAGAAUUUUAUUAGUUUAUUCACUUUAUUGCCCAAUUGAUUGCUGCUCAGGCUAAGCGAGGUACGACUGGUGCUUUGUCUGCAGAGGCCACAAAGGUUGGUCAAUUCAUGAAGAUAGGUCCUCCAACUUUUACUGGAGUAAAGGUGGAGGAGGAUCCAUAGGGCAUCUUGGAUAAGAUCGAAAAAAUCUUUUAGGUGAUGUAAGCUACUAAUUGAUACAAGCUUAAAGAGCACAAGGAUUACAGGUCUUGUAGAAGGUUUGAGCUUUGGAUUGUCAAAGGAUCAAGUCUCGAAUUUGCAAGUACUCGAAGACCUUUUGGAACCAUUACAAAGCCUUGUGCAAGUGAAGAAAGGAGGAGGGUCCUUACACUAAAGAGGCGCCUUUUACUAAGGGUAUGAUGGACUUUUUACACUCCAAAAUAACACUCCAUAGGAGCCCCUUUUAUAAGCCCCUCAUUAAUGACAUUUUUGUCAUUUGGUUGUAAUAAGUAUAAAUAGGCACCUUAGCUCUUAUUUUCCUUAGUUUUGAGAUAAUGAAUUGAGUGACUUUUUAGAUUGUAAUCUUAGUGUUAGAUUGUAGUCUUUCUCUUCUCCUUAAGAGAGGGAAAACUAAAACUUGACCCUUGAUACAUUUGAAAUUGGUUUUCACUUGUCUUGGGUAAUUUGGUAAAAAAGGUAUUCUUGAAGAAGUGUGAGUCCUUUGGGUCACCUAAGAGGAAGGUUUGAGAUUACAUUGGUGAUGUGUUUUUGAAGGUUUGAUACACCUUCUAGUUCUAUUCAUUGGUGGAAGUAAAGGUCUUUCUACUAUCUUUACAUUUUAUGCAAUCUUCUUCUUCAUCCCCUUUCUAGUGUGUUGUUUUCUCUUUGUGUGCUUGCUGAUUAGUGUCAAUUUCAUGUAUAGCCUUUCUUUAGGCUAUCAUUUGGUAUCAAAGCCUUGGUUGGGGUUGUUCCAACAUCCCUAAAUCUUGCUUUUAGUGUUCUUAUUUAGAAAAUCUCAACAAAAAAGAGUCAAAAAAUCAGAAAAUACAAAAAAAAAAAGUGUUGUCUUGUGUGUUUGUUGUAGAUCCGAAUUUUCCAAGUUGGAUCUACAAGUUGUUAUUGUGUUUUGAAGGUUUCUAGUGCUAUAUUCUUUCUCUCUAGCACAUAGGAAUUCUAGAUCUACUUUUAGAUUGAAGUUUGGUUGAUUUUGAGCUAGAACCUCCAUGAACAUGGUGUUUUUCAAGCUUUUGAGCUAAAAUCCAAAAUUGACCUUUCUAUUUACACGAGUUUUGUGGCUGAUUUUUAGAGGGUUGGGUUUGUUUUGGCCUAAGGAACCUAGAUCUGCAAAAAAAAAAAUUCAAAUUUGGAGUUCAUUUGCUAGGAGGUCAAACUUGGUCAACACUUGAAUAUUCAUAUUGUUCAUCCAUGAUCUUCAUAUCUUAGUGAAGAAGAAUAUUCAAAGGUAUGUUUUGAUCCUAAAGAGGGAAGAAAGAGAGUGAAAAAGUUGUUUGUCUAAACGCAUAUUCAAAGAAUAUUCUAUUCUUCCAAGAUGAGGAGGGGACAAGGGGACAAACAAAGUACAAGUGCAAUCACCGGGGGGGGGGGGCCAUUUUAUUCCAUUUUCAUUUGAGACUUAAAGGAACCCUAAAUUGCAUCCUUUCAGCCCCCCAAAUCCGAAACUCUCACUUCCAAGGGAUAGUGUUUGGGCCAAAACUAGGUUUUGAAAAAUAUUAAAAAUUCGAAAAGUGACAACCAACCACGUCAUCACUUGUGCUCAACCAAAAUUGACUCUAAAAUUAGGUUUCGUAGUUUCUAAUCUUUGAUUCUAGUUUCUUUUAAGCUAAUUCUAUCACUAAUUAGCAAACUAGUAAGUACCAACUAGGUUGGUAAUUAGUCUAGAGUUCGUUUAUUUUGUGUCUUCAGUUUUUUUUGUGUUCUUUUCUCGUUUAUAAGUCGUAGUAUUUUGUUGGUUCAAGUACGUGCAUCACUUUAUUUGAGUCGUUUUAAUCAAAUAUCAAUUCCAAUCCAAAGCUUCUCACCUCUCAAGUAACUUGCCAAGUAUUACCGAUUCUCCAACACUUGUGAAGCCAAGCAUGAGGUGAGGUUGAGUGUGAGUGAAGUGAGGCUUUUGAACUAACUUGUUUGAUCGUUUUGUAGCUUGUGUUGCUUGCUGUUUUUUGCUUUUUUUAGGUACAAUUGACCAUGGAAGCUGAGGAUUCUUUAUUCCAAUCCUUGGGAAAUGAUAUAAUGGGAGCCUUGAAGGCUCACUUUGAGGCCUUUGCUCGAAAAAUGAAGGAUAAUAAUGAUGCUUAUUUGACUUUAUAAAAGGUGAUUUAGGAUUCAUGAGGCGUGACAUAAUUAGAAUUAAAGCAGGGGUUGAUAGACUAUGUCCACCAAAACUUCCACAAAAUUCAAACUACCAAAUCUAAACCCAUCAUCAACCAAAUCUAAUGCCUCUUCUCCAUAAGUUAGAAUCCAAGAAGAAUGAGGUCAAGCCUCCAGAUGGAGAGAAAAUGGAUGGUGGGGUACAAGAAGAGUGUGAAAAAAAGAGGGUAAGGGAAAGGGAAGCCACGGGUAGUGAAAUUGGAAGGGAAAAAGAACACUUGAUCGUGGAUCUUGUCCACAAAGGACCCUUGAUAUUCACUAACCCAAAUACUAUCAUUUUCCCUAGUAUUUUCUCUUCUCAUGUGCAGGUUCAAGACCCUAGAAUCCCCAAGGAGAAGCCCAAGGAAUUCCCUUCAAGCCUUUGGCUGAAAGUCCCAAUUUUAGGACAAGUGAUGAAGGAGUGAGUCCAAAGGGAAAACUUGAACUAUUCCCUUG